UUUUUUUGGAAAAGCUUAUCAUCGUUACAAAUACAUAGUCUUAUGCAAAUUUAUACUAUAUAGUGGCAAGAUAGAUAAUACACAACACCGGAAACUGCUGCCCUCUAUGUAUGCCUUUUUUUAAUAUCAACGCAACAUUAUUUUUAUUCAUGAAAUAUAUUACUAAGAAAGAGUGUAUGGUGCAUGAUGAUAUCAUUACGAUUAGUUUCGAGUUUCGUCCUCAGUUUCCACGGCACCAUGACCACCGUGACCACGUCUACCGUGGUUGUGACCACCUCCACCACCAUUGUAACCCUCUCCGCCAUGGUUGUAAACAUGUCCACCUUUUUCAUGAACAUCACCAUCACCGUUGUUAGAAUCAUCACCGUUGUUAGAAUCACCACCGUUGUUAGAACCACCAACAUAGCCUCCAUCUUUGCCAUAAUUUAAGUCAGUCUGUUCAACACUAUCUGAAAAAACAAUAUAUAUUAAUCAUUAUAUCAUUAGAUAAUUAAAAAGGUUUGCUAAAUUAGAUAUAAAAAAAAUAUGGUCCAAGUUAGCAAAUAUGCACAUUUUUAUUUGGACAAAAAUAUCCUUCAUUUUUAUUAUUAAAAACUAAUAGUUUGAGGGUUACUUUAAUAUUUUUAUUUAAAACAUAUUUGUUACCCGACACCAAUUGCUAACUUAGACCCACUUUUAUUUUAUUACAAAUAAAUUAAGGGUCACUUUAGUACUUUUCAUUAAAACAUAUAUUUGUUAACUUGCAUCAAUUUGCUAACUUAGACCCACCUUUAUUUUAUAACAAAUAGCUUGAAGGAUAUUUAAUAUACUAUCACUUACAUUAAUUUAGUUUACACUAGUGGAUAUUUGCUAACUUGGAUCAAAUUGCACCGAUGUGAUAUAAUAUUUGAAUAAUUUACACUGCUUAAAAACUUCUUAUUGAAUAUAGAAUUAUAGCAAAAAAAAAUUUAAUAAAGAAUUAUAGCAAAUUUUAUAAGACUCACAAUUGAAUAUAUAAUUAUAUCAUAUGGAUCAUCUCUGUAAGUUAUAUAUGAAGCAAAUUUGAAAUCGUUUUUUAUAUAACAUUGAAGUGCAUGAAGAUUAACGUUUACAUAGAAAUGAAUUAAUUAAAAUGUAUAAAAUACAUAAUUAAGUAUAAAAGAAUUAUCCUUUAAAAAAGUAGAAAUGAAUUAAAAACAUAUGUCUAAAACGCUCACCCCAAUUAGGAUCCGUGGAAGUUUCGGAUAUCACUGAGGAAAUAAGAACCAUAGCCAAGAGGCCUAGCAUAAGGAUUGCCUUUUUUGAAACCAUUGUUCAAUAUCUGUUCAAAUUUGAUAUUUGGUAGUGAACGAUGAGAAAAGUAGCAAGAAGUGUGCUCUAUAUAUAAUGGAGGGAAGGAGUGAGAUGAUGUAGGGACAUUCACUUGCUAGUUGAGAAGGUAGCUAGUGUGUAAUAAUUCAUUGCUUUUUAGUUUCAUAAUGUACAUGGUCUAUAAUAUCGACCAGAUACAUCUUUUAUGCAAUUAAUCUAAAAAAUAAAAUUUUAUGUAUAAUAAUAAUCGGAUGAUGUAUAUAUUUAUAAAUUUUUAACUAAAAUAAUUGUUUGAUGAUUUUAAUAUCAUUUGUUUUGACUACUUCCUUUCUUUCAAAAUAAGUGAUCUAGUUGAUUGUUUUAAGCAAUUUAUAUAUGUAUAAACAAAAAAAUAUAUAAAAUUUGAUUUUUAAAAAUAUUUGUUGAAACAAAUCUAAAAAUAUCUUAUAUACUGAUAUUUCUCUUUAUAUGGUAGUAGAAAAAGAUUAUCAAAUAUAUUAUGUGAAUUGUGAAUAAUAGAGAAUCACUUAUUUCAUAAUAGAGAGAGUUGUAAAGACCAAAGGCUAUGAAAAAUUGAAAAUGGUGAUGAGGUAUGGCUACUUUCUAUUGGCUGAAAGUGACAUUUUGAAAGCAUACUAUUGGUUCAUACUAGCUAUCUCAUCCCAUGGAGAUACAUGCAUUCAACUUUAUCCAGACACAUUCAUAAUAUGUUUUCUAUAAGUAAUUUUAUUUUUUUUAGCAAAAGAGUAUUACGGAGGUACACUCUAUACUUGAACAUUCACUUAUUAUAUGUUUUCUAUAAUAAUUAAUAAGUGAACUCUAACCAAUAAACUCUACUUGAACAAAAACAAAAAACAUUUUCCUUAAUCAUAUUAUCUCCAUCAAUCUCAUUUUAUUAUUCGCCACUUUGAAUAUACUAUAUACAGAUACACUAAUAUUAUAGCCAUUCUCUAAAGGCUAAUUAUUUCUAUUCUUUUGGUGUUUUUAAGUAAAUUAGCUUUCGUGCUAGUAGCAUUCCAUUUAGCAUGUAAGUAAUUAUACCGGUGUAUGAGAACAAUUUCGUUUUUGACACUAUGCAUAUCUUGCGGUAUUAUGCUUUAAAAAUUUGCUUACAAAAAAAUAUUAAUAGCUAAUAAUGAUAUUUAUUAAAACCGAUAUUCUACUUUUUUUUUCAUUUCUCAUGUAUUUUUUUUAAUUUUCGUGAAAUCAUCAAAAAAAUAUGCUUUAAUUUGUGGGACAAAAAGAGCACUAGAUGAAAAAUAGGUUUUUGCAGCGUCCAAAAGCCUCCUCAAAAAACCUCCCUGAAAUAGGUUCAAGUUCAACCAUCCCGCUUUUAAACCUCCUCAAGCGUUUGCAUUUUUUUUAUGUUUUCAUAAUUAGUGUGAAAAAUAUAAAAAUAAUAAAUUUAAUAAAAAUUAGAUAUAUUAAAACAAAAAUUGUAGUAAGAGAGAAUUAAAAAACAACUUAAAAAUAAAAAAUGGUAAAACAAAUAUUUUAUAGUAAUUUAAAAUUAAAUAUAGAUUAAAUUUAAAAAGGGUUAAAUAUGUUUUUAAUCUCUACAAUAUCACAGAAUUUCUAGUUUAGUUCCUACUCCCUCCGUCCUAAUUUAUAAACAAAAAACACAAAUUCACACUUAUUAAGAAAACAAAAACAUAGUAGUUUGAGAUAUAAUUUUUUGUGUUUUUAUUGGAAUAAGUUUCAUGGAAAAAAAAUUGUGUAGAUUAAAUUUUUUGUGCCUUUAGAUGAAAAAAAAAUAUUGGAUGAUGAUUAAAAUAAAUUAGUUAGAUGAGAUGAGAGAGAAUGAAUGAGCCAUAGGUCAGACUCCCCUAACCAAGAACAAUGCCCAAAAGAGACAAAGCCAUCAUAGACCCGUACCUAGCAUAAAGGACAUCCCACCACAUAAUCAGGCUCUCCAAAAUAAUCAUCCAACAUUACUUACAAGCAUACUUAUAAAAUUCAAAAGAGGAAAAAAUACAAAAUACUUAUAAAUAAAUUCUCAUGAAUAAAGAAAAAUGAAAAAUAUUAUAUAGUUCACCCGUUUUGGUAUUAGAGGAAGUCUCAGUUAAGACCCUCGCUGAAACCCUAGAGGAAAUAAGAACCAUAGCAAAUAGGCCUAGAAUGAGGAUUGCUUUUUUUUGAAUCCAUUGUACUCAAGAGUAUAAAUAAACUACACAAAUCGGUAUUACAAAAGGGAUAUUUGGUAGUGAACAAUAAAAGAGAAUGUGCUCUAUAUGUAGUGGAGGUUGGGAGAUCAAUACUUGGUAGUUGGGAAGGUGGAAUAGUGCUCUAUAUUAAUUCAUUCUUAUCUUCAAAUUCAGAACUGUUUGUUUGUUAGUAAUUUUGAAACCAUUCAUUUUGAGUAUUAAGAAUCGGAGGCUACUUAAUUCGUUGAAAAAAUGAAGCAGUUAUUGUCUAUGCCAAGCCUACUUAAUUCGUUGAAAAUAACAGUAUUGAAAGUAUUGAAAAUAACAGUAUUGAAAAUAACAGUAUCAACCACAUACAUCAUUAAAUAAAUAAACCUAAAAAAUGAAUUUUGUUUAUAUUUUGAUACGGAGUGAGUACUUUUAAUUUUGAAACCAUUCAUUUUGAUAUUUGAGUGGUGAAGGUACAUUCCGAAUAAACACUCUAAACUCUAAACUUUUUUAUAACUUCAACAAAUGAUCUAUCUAUCACUCAAAUUAAAUUUUUAAGGGGUUCUAAAUUGACUAGUUUAAGUGUGAAGAACAAGAAACAUAUGAAUAUGCAAACUAAAAUGCAACAACAUAUUGAACAAGACUUUAAGCUCGGACAUGAGUAAAAAAUACACAACUAAAGGGUUCAAACUCACAUAUUUACUAGGUUAUUGUGAAUUUGGACUCAAAUCUUAAAAAAAAAAAAAAAUAGAUGUGAAGAGCAUAUAUCAAUGACAACCAACAAUCAAACAUUCUCAAGUUACACAACAUAUUUAAAUAUGUGUAAAGUAAAGCCACAAUCAAAGCAUGGAAUAAAGAUAAAAGAGAAGAGAAAUCAACAUAGGAAUACUAUUGUUUACCCAAUUUGCAUUGGUCCAAGAAUGAGCCACAUUUUGGGGAGAGAAAAUAUCUUCAAUCCACUAUCAAUGAUUCAUUGGAAAGAGAUACAGAGAGUUACAUGAAAUUAACUUCAACAAGAUCUUCGAGAGCAAACUUAAUUUCUACUAUUUUUCUACGUACACUCUUCCCUUGAACAAGAGAGUUACCAAGUGACCAAAAAAUUUAGCUUCCAAUGUUUUCCAAAAACAUCCCCUAAGAGGAGAUUAGUUUAUGAAUACGUUAUUUAAUUAUUCCAAUGUUUAUGAAUACGUUAUUUAAUUAUUAACUCUUGAAAGGAAGUCUCAAGUCACAACAAUUCGGGCACACCAUUUCGAAAUACACAUAUUCAUAAAAAGAUAGAAAGAGAAAAUAAUUAAAUAACGUAUACUUUUAAAAUAAUUAAGUAUUUCUUUGUGUUCAGUAUACAUCUCAACCAACACCUAUUGAUUCUUGUAUAAAUAAAAAUGGUGUCUAAGCCUAUCGCACAACGGACCCCUCUCAAACUAAUCACCCAACCAAAAUAGUGUCUUAGCUCCAUUGUCCACCACCCUCACCAAAUUGUCCUAGUAUCCUCGCAACCCACCGUUCAUAUUAACUAUGAGUAGUGAUAUAUGUACAACUCUUUGGUACAACUUUCAUGACAACUUUGGUUUUCUCUCUUUUGAUUGGUCAAAAAUACUAGAGAGAGAAAAAGGAAGAGAGAUAAUAAGAAGAUAAUGUGAGUAUGUGAGAGAAAGUUGUCAAAAAAUUGUUAGAAAAUGGUUGUACAAAUAUCAUUUCUCAUUAACUAUUAUUCAUCAAACUACAUGUUAUUUCUAAGAAAAAAUAAAAAAAUUAGUUUUUAUAUAUAUCUUUUAUUUGGCCAAUUAGCCUAAUGAAUAAAAUUCCACCCUAUUAAAAUGAAAAAAUGGAGAAGGUAGGAAAUUCAACCCCUAUAUAUAUAAUAUAAUAUCCAUGCCAACUGAAUAUGAAAGUCUUUUGCCAAUAUAUAUAUAAAUUAAUAUUCAACUACCUAACAUGUAUGAUUUCUCGAUAAAACAAUAUAUUAACAAAAUAUUAUAGUUUAUUUCAUUUAUUCUUGAUGAUGAGAAAUCAAUAAUAACAUUUUUAUUUAUUUAUAGAGAUAAUAUAAUAUCUCUAAACUAACAUAUAACUUAUUAAUUCAUCUUAAAUUUUAACUUAAAAUACAAUUCAUCAAUCUCAUUAAUAUUAUAGCAUGAGUCAUUAUACUAGUUUUUUUUUUUUUUUUAGUAAAGGUCAUUAUUGUGUAACCAAAAAAUAAAAGAAAAUAUUCUAUAUUAAAAUUUCAGAGCUGCCGUUCCUGUCACAAUUAAUUAAUUUUUCUUUUUAUAUUUUGAUAAUUUCAGAACUCCUUAAGUUCAAAUUGACAGCGAUGAACGAUAAUGAAAGACGCCCACUUAUUUUGAAUUUUUCAUACAAAUGUGUGGCUAGACGUGGCCAUAUAAUUUGUAUUCAUGCGUACCCAUCCGAACCCCGUUUCGAAUAUGAUUUGGACAACUUGAAUUGGAGCUAGACUUGGUUAAACAUAACCAUAAAUCUUUUAUCUAGAUACACACUCAUUAAUAACAAAAAGUAAAGGAGGAAAAAAUAAAUUUUAUUAUUAUUGAAAUUAAUGAAUAAAGUGUCGUGACGGAUUCAGAAAUGUUGACUUGUGGAAACAAAACUUUAUAUAAUACUCCCUCCGGUCCUAUUUACAAGAGAAAUUUGACUUUUUAAAUACAUUGAAUAAUGUAUGUAUCUAGUCAAGAACCUAAUCCAAAUACAUAAAUUAUUUAAUGUAUCUAAAAAGUAAAUUGUUUCUUAUAAAUAGGACCAGAGGGAGUAAAUAUUUAAAGAAAAUUUUUAAUAAUGCAAAAGUGAUAUAAUAAUAACAUCAUUAUCAUUGAGAAAAAUGCUCAAUAUUUAGAAAAAUUAAAGACUCGUCAACAUCUACAAAUUAAAAUUGUUUUUACGUGUCUUUAUAUUCAAAAAAUAUGGUAGAAAUUAAAUUUCAUCUCAAAUGCAUUUACGCAUUCGAUUUUAUGAAAUUCAUGAACAAAACUUUUUUUUAUGGUAUAAAUUUUAAUUUAAUUGAGGCAAUCUAUUAUUUUAAGAGAGAGCAACCAUUAAAAUAUAAAAAAUUUAACAAAUAUAACCAGAAGAGUAGUGGGGGCAGUUUCCCCCAUACCACUCUACCUAGAAUCGUGGUUGAUGAUGUGAUUGUUAAUGUGGUGUGCCUAAAUGCAAAAUAUUUAUUUUUGUUAUCAAGUAAGUAUUGACUCGGUUCGUAUUUUUUACGAUUUCAAAAGACGGUUGUGGCCUCGCCCGUAUCAAAAUUAUAUUAUUACCUCUCUUAAAUUAUAAACUCAUAAACAAAUUCCUAAAUUACAUUCAUACAUUAACUUUUAUUUUUAAGCUCAACCUUAAACAAGUCAUUUCCUCUACUUUUUUUUUUUAGAAAACCAUAUUGUUGAAACAACAUAGUUUUGAGCUUUUUUACUUAUUCUUAAUAGAAAAAAAGAUCAAAUGCCACUUUUGAUCCUUUUAGUUUAACAGAAUUCUCAAGUUAGUCCUUUAAAUUUCGAAAGUUUCAAUUAGGUUCUUUUGGUUUGACAUAAUUCUCAAGUUAGUCCUUUAAGUUUCAAAUAGGUCCUUUUAGUUGAUAAAUUAUUUCACUGUUACCGCUGCUGUCAGUCUCUGUUUAACUAAUGUUAAUGUAGCUGUAAGUUGUUGACUUGAAUCGAAAUGCUGCCUUUUAAUAGCUCGAGGGUGCAUGUCUAAACGCUACGUUUAAUGGUCACAAAUGAUCAUUUAUAGUGCUAAUAAGACAGCUAUUUACAACAAUAAAUGUCUUUCUAGCACUAUUAAACGACAUUUAUAAUACUAGAAUGAUCAUUUGUGACGAUUAAACGUAAUGUUUUGACUCACCGGAGCUUUUAAAAGACAACGUUUUGAUUCAAGUCAACAACUUAACGGCUACAUCAGCAUCAGCUAAUUAUUAACUGACAUGAGGGGGGUAACGGUGAAAUAGUUUAUCAACUAAAAGGACCUAUUUGAAACUUUUGAAACUUAAAGGACUAACUUGAAAAUUAUGUCAAACUAAAAGGACCUAAUUGAAACUUUUGAAACGUAAAGGACUAACUUGAGAAUUAUGUCAAACUAAAAAGACCAAACGUCAUAUUUGGCCUACAAAAAGUACAAAAGUUCACGUGAGAGAAUCGAACAACCCAAAAUGUUUUGUGAACCCUAUUUCUUGAUGAAUCCACGUGAUACACAACUCAGCAAGCCAUCAGAGCAUGCCUCAACGGAGAAAAACGCCGAUAUCUGCAUGGAAACCAACCCCAAAAGGGGUUAUCUUCCAAAAACUACCAGCACAAGGUCAUAGGUGUUCUGGAAUGAGGAUAAUGCGUAGGGGCAGCGCCUCUCAUCGCACCACCGCGCUAGCCGCUACAUCUAAAAGGAACAAAUUUGAAUGAGGGGAAGGCGUUGGAGAGGUGGUCGUUCAAGAGAGAAGCGAGAGAGUACUUUUUGAGAGAGAUAAGGGAGCAUCCUCCUAUCUUCCUAAAGUUACAUGCAUUUCUUAAUUUUGUCUAACAUCCAAUUUACCCUCUAUACCGUAGAUUUUUUUAAAAUACUCCCUCCGGUCCUAUUUACAAGAUAAAGUUGAUUUUUUUGAUACAUUGAAUAAUGUAUGUAUCUAGUCAAGAACCUAAACUAAAUACAUAAAUUAUUUUAUGUAUCUAAAAAGUAAAUUGUCUCUUGUAAAUAGGUCCGAAGGGAGUAUUUACUUUUUUUUGAACAAAGUAAAAUGAGACAUAUAUUAUAAACAAUGGCGAUUUACCGUGCACAAGACAUGCAAAAGGUAAACCGACCAAUCAAAAUACAACAGUAGGGUGCUAAUUUAGAGUAACACCGUAAAAAAGUUACAAAAAAACUACACAAAAACACCCAUGCAGGGAAGUGGGUGUUUCCACCAGUCAUAAUAAGAAUAAAUAAAAGAUAUAUGCGAUGAUUUCAGCCACAUAAACGAGUUCAGCUUCACUUUUUCAGCUAAAGAAGAAGGAUCACAAACCGUUUCUUGGAACACACGGUUAUUUCUUUCCUUCCAAAUGACCCAAGCAGAAGCGAACCAUAUUACUUUCAGAUAAUAAUGAGUGGCUCUAGGAAAGCCGGCCAAAUUAGAAAAUUGUGUAAAAUGCCGCCGAAUAUCACCUGGAAACACCACAGAUAAACCUAACCAAUGCAAAAUAUGAUCCCAAAGCGUACUAAAAAUAUUACAGACACAAAACAAGUGAUUUGCGGUUUCAUAGGCACCACAACCUGACACACAAACCGAGUUAGCUAACAGAAGAACACGCCGAUGAACCAAGUUGUCUCUAGUGGGAAGUCUAUUCCGAAAAAGGCGCCACACAAAUAGUGACACCUUAGAGGGUAUGCUCUUAUGCCAAACAUCUUCAACCAGAGUCUUAUCCACCACAUUACCAUUAUCAGUGAGAAAACGAUAAGCUUCCCGUACCGUAUAACCACGGAUAGGAUCUAACAACCAAAUCCAAGAGUCAUGAACAUUAACCUGCAAAACGACAUUAGAAAGUAACAUAGAACAUUCCUUCACACUUUCCUCCUCCCACGCCAAAAGUCUCCGGCUCCACUCCCACCCCCACCUCCAACCUCCCAACCGUCCCUACUCAUGUCCUCCACCGUACACUCUUUGCGUAAAAACAAAUCAAAAAGACGGGGGAAUUUACAACAUAAAGGUGUAUCCCCCAACCAAUUAUCAUACCAAAAUAAAGUAUCCCUACCAUCUCCUACCCUCCUACGAAUGUUGUCAUCAAACCACCUCCCAACACCCUCACCUAACCCCUCCCUAAUCCUACACACUGACCGCCACCACGGAGAAUCGAGGUGUCCUCCCUCCUCCAACCGUCCCCCUAUCUCACCAUAGCGGGCUUUAAGUACUUUAUACCACAUCCCCUCCUUUUCAUUCAACAUCCUCCAACACCACUUCCGCACCAACGCCAAAUUAAAAGCUCCCAUCCUCCUCACCCCCAACCCUCCGUGCUCCUUUGGAGUACAAAUCGACUCCCAAUUUAUCCAAGCAAUUUUCCUAGAGUCCUCACCCCCACCCCAAAAAAAAAAUUAAAAAUAGAUUCAAUAGAGGAAAUUAUACCUGCGGGGGCUUUGAAAAAGGAAAGAAAGUAAACAGGAAUGGAAGACAGAACAGAUUUCAGAAGAACCAAGCGGCCGCCAAAAGAAAGGAAUUUAUUACUCCACAAGGACAGGCGCGAAACAAUUCGAUCGACAACAGGUUUCCAAAAACUAAGUUUCCUUGGAUCACCACCAAUAGACAACCCUAAAUAGACAAAAUGGAUAGUUCCCCUUCGACAAUUCAUAACCAACGCCGCUUCAGUCAACCACGAAUCCGAAACAUUCACACCCGUCAACAUGCUUUUAAGAAAAUUUACCUUCAACCCCGAAAUCUUUUCAAAUAAUAGCAAGACGGACCUCAUGGUUCUGACGUUCAACCAACUUUUCUCUCCAAUAAUAAGGGUGUCAUCCGCAAACUGCAAAUGAGUUAAAUAAACAUCACCUGAUCGACCAACUUUGUACCCUGAAAACAUAUUAGCAUCAACCACCGCUUUCAUCAACACAUUGAAACCUUCUGUAACCAACAAAAAAAGAAAAGGUGAUAAAGGAUCUCCUUGUCGAAGGCCCCUCUCAAUAGGAAACUCAUUCGCCGGGCUACCAUUAACCAAAACUGAUGUUGUUGCUGUCCCAACACAUUCAUGAAUCCACUUCCGCCAGAGUCUCGGAAAAUUCAUAUUCUCCAUUACCAUGUCCAGAUACCUCAGAUCAACUGAAUCAUACGCCUUUUCGAAGUCAACUUUAAACAACAACAGUUCUUUAUUCAUCCUCUUAGCUUCAUCCACCGCUUCGUUAGCUAUCAAAAUACUGUCAAGAAUCUGUUUCCCCUGAAUAAAAGCCGACUGUGACUCUGACACAACAUUACCCACUACUAAACGGAGACGAUUGGCGAGGACUUUAGCUAGCACCUUAUACAGACAGCCCACUANAGAGAUAGGCCGAAAAUCAUGGAGUCUUUGCGGACUAUUAACUUUUGGAAUUAAAGCUAUAAAAGUUGAGUUUAUACCUUUUGUAAGUUUCCCAUUCCGAUGGAAAUCUACCAAAAACCUCAUAAAGUCAUCUUGAAGCAAAUCCCAAAAUUGUUUGAUGAAACCAAAAUUGAUGCCAUCAGGCCCUGGGCUUUUGAAGCUAUCACAAUCCCACACCGCCUGUUUCACCUCCUCAACUGAAAAAGGUUUUGUCAAAUUCCCAACCUGAACACCAGUUAAUUUUCGAAAAAGAAGAUUCUCCACACCCCACCGAUUAGCCGCACUUGAUUUAAAGUGAGAAGAGAAAUGAUUAAAGACCGCAUUCCGAAUAGCUUGAACACAUUCCAAAUUAACCCCAUCGACAGACACACACCUAAUAGCAUUGUGACGCCGUUUAGCAGACAUAACUCCAUGAAUUUUUUUUGAAUUUGCAUCUCCUUCCUUCAACCACUGCAAUCGAGAAUUUUGCCAGUGUACACUAGUCUGAGUUCGAGCCAAAGAAUGGAGAUUCACAGAUAAAUCACGUAAUUCCAGCACCUCAUUUUCCUGAAGUUCCGACAACUCUGCCUUUGUAUCUAAAAUGGAUAAUUUAUUUUUUACCUCCGACUUCCUUCCAUCUAAAUUCUUAAUAUGCUAACACUUUAGGUGAAAAAAAAGAUUAUACUUUUAUGUUAAAAAAUAAUUUAAAAAUAUUUUUACAUUGUCAAUUAAUAAAGUAAAAAUAUUAAAAUUUGAUUAAAAUUAUUUUUAAAUUCAUAUACAUGAUUGCUUGUGAUUAUUUAAAAAUAGUAAAAAAAUAAUAGUUCAACCGUAUAGUGAAAUUAAACUAAAAAAAAGGUGUACCGCAAUAAUUUCAUUCUCCACCUUUUAUUGAUUUUGUUUUUUCCGGCCCCUCCCACCAUUUAUUUCUGGCUCCACCCGACAAUCAAUUUGUGUCGAGUGUUUAAUCUACACAAUUUUUUUUAUUAUCUACAUUUAUUUAUUUUUUAUUUCAUUAUUAUUUAUCAGUUAAUAAAUACUUCCUUCGGUGUCCCCGUGAGCUUAGCUCAGUUGGUAGGAACAAAUGCAUAAUAUAUGCAGGGGCCAAGGUUCGAACCUCAGAUACACUACUUCUUCACAUUAAAUAUGUGUGAGCUCCAGCCACUAGGCUACCUGACCAAAAAAAAAAAAUACUCCCUCCGAACAUACUUAUAAGAAAUACUAGAAAUCCGACCCGUGCUGACGUCAUAUAACAAUAAAUCAUAAAUCAUACAAAUAGAAGAAAUUUAAUUCCGUUCAAUCAUACAAAGUACACGAUUUAGGAUACAUUCCAAGUCAUACAUAUUAAUAGAAGAACUUUAAUUUCGUUCCAUCAUACAAAGUACACAAUUUAGGAUACAUUACAAAAAACUUCAUGAUAAACAACAUUAGACAUUACAUUAGUGUCUUCACGAUCAUCACAAUUUUGUUUGUUUUUUGGAAACUAAUGCUUCUAAGUUGCAAAGAAAUUGAUGGUUCUUAUCUUACUAUUAUUUUGUUCCCAAUUUGUAAGGUGUUCAACUAAUCAAGCUCAAACCUUAUAAGAGUGAGGUUCAUGGUGUUUUGUUAAAACUUGAAUAUGCAAUUAACAAUGACGGCCCUUUUAUGGUGGUGUUAUUUUAUUAAUAUUUUGACGGUGAUUUAUCAUAGUAAGUGCAACAGAGUGUGAUAUAUAUAUAUAUAUAUAUAUGAGGAUGUAUACUAUGAGAAUGAGUAUUUUAUAUGAGAAUGAUGAGAAUAAUUAUCAAUCAUCAGAUUAAAAAUAAAAGGUUGCGAUUAAAAAUUCUUAUUUAAACAACCCAUGUGCCUCACUUACACUUAGUGUAUCCACAAUACUCAUUCAGCUACCCAUUCAUCGCUUCAUCUUCUUCAAAAUCUCCAUUUUCUGCAACUUUUUCAUCUAUCAAAUCUUCAUUGUAAUUUCUUUCUGCAAACAAAUCCAUAGAAACAUCUCUUUCAUCAACCCAAACAACAUUUUUUGUGUUUGAGAUGUGAAUUGAGGUUUUUGUUUGUUUUUCAAUCAACUUCAAUUAAGUGUAUUCCUGUUUCGAAUGAAUUUCAAAUUUUUGAUUUCAAUCGGAACUCUUGUUUUUGGAUUUUCAAACUGUUGUAUUUGGAUUUCCAAAAUCUAUUAUCUACCGAAGUUGUUACUAGGUUGAGUCGCGACCAGGUCGCUCUCUUUAAGACGUUUCGCGGCACUGCCCAAAAUUGUGCAAGGCAGACUAUCAACCACGCCGCCUCCAGAAUAAAACAAGCCCAGCUACUACUGUUUGAUUAACUAAUGCACUGUAGAAAAUCGUUCGAGAAUUACACCUCCAAAUAUGGUGCUAAGACCACUCUUUAAUACUGAAACCACUUUAAUAUGGUAUUGUUACCACUCUGUUAUGGUGCUGAGACCACUCAAAUAUGGUAUUAACACCAUUCUAACUUUAAGUUCUCCAAACUAUCAAUAUGGUACUACGACCACUCAAAUAUGGUGAUACCACCAUUUCUCCUCAAAUAGAAAAAUAUUGAAAUACUUUUUAUAUAUACCCUUAAGAUCAUUAUUAAUUCCGACGGAACAUUGUUAUUCCAAAUAGGGACUAUGAUCUUAAAAGUACUCUUUAUUCUGAAGGGACAUAUAUUAUCGAAGAGAUUAUGUUUUAAGACCAUUCUUAAUUCCGAAGGGACAUUAAACCGAAAAGGGACUAUGGUCUUAAGAACAGUCUUAAUUCCGAAGGGACAGAAAGGAGUAGAAAAAGGAGAAUGACUUGUCAACACAAGUCGAAUGAGGGAGAAGAGAGGAAAAACACAGAAAACAUCAACUGUGAAUUUCGGUGUGUUUUUGAACUAAGUGGAGUCCUCUAUUUAUAUAGAGAUUCUGUAACUGUUUUAGCAAAAAUUGCGACAACAGUUACUCUAAUGGAUAAGAUUAAAAUGAAGUUUAUCCAUUAAUCAGUUCAACAACACUUGUGAAUAGGAUGAAAAGAAACAAAUCCACAAAAGUGGAGGAAACAAACUAUUGGAUUUGAAUGAAGGAAAUAUAAUAAUAAUUAAAUUAUUAUUCUUAUCACAACCACCAUAAGCUAAAUUUAUGUAAAGUGAUAUUCUCGAAUAAAUUAAUAAUUAAUAUUAUUUUUAUCAUUACCAAGUAUUUAAAAUUAAAUACCACAAUUUAAGCACUACUAAUGUGUGUGUUCUAUUUUAUGUGAGACCCCCACACUCUAUUUUUUCAAUUCACACAACAUUAGAUCAUAGUAUAAUUACUUGGUGUUUAAUCUUCCAAUUUUUUAUCCAACAUCACAUCAAUGUUCCAACAAUUCCCCACUUGAAUUUUAAAAAUGGUUUCAAUAAUAACGUCAAAACGUUUCUAUAAGGUUGCUAAUAAACAAAGGUGUCGCCUACAACUUGAACCUUUGCAUAGCGGAUAAUAUUCUGAUUUAACAAGAGUUGCUUACAGCAUUGAACUCUAUCUCAGACAUAGAACCCACACACAAACCUUUUCCUAAGGUGUAUUCUAAAAGCUCGUGCGUUUUAUGGCCUUGCACGUCUAUCCCGGUUUUAACGAACGUUCUAGGUAUUCUGCCCCGAAUACCAUAGGAAUCGGCCUAAGUUCCACAUUCGUAUAGGUGAGUCUAUCAAGAGUACUCCUGUAGCUAGGUACUCCACUCCACAUAGAGUAUAGAUCUCAUUAAGAGUUUCUAUUAUCUCAUCCUUAUGUCACUGCAGGAAUCAUGCUUUCUUACUUUUCUCAUGCAUGUUCUUUCACUCAUGACUUGUCAUUACCCAUUGAACCUAUUUCUUGGGAUCUCCAAUCAUGUAGGUCGGGUUACCAUUACUAGUGACCUUUGGGCAUUAGUCCCAUAUUCCUAUUGGAUGUGUUUAGGACUUUUUUUCUAGUAAUUCCUUUCGUCAAAGGAUUGACUAAUUCUUUAUUUGUACGUGCACGAUAUACUUUAACCGUUCCUUUUAGAGCUCUCUAAUUAUUCUGUGUUCGUGCCUUAAUUAUCGUUUCUCACCAUUGUGGUAAUGAUUCUCAAUUUUGUAAUAGAUGCAAACUAUCACAAUAAAUUAACACUUCGGACAACGGUUUCACCCACUGAGGGUUCUUAGCUAGCAAGCAUCUUAUCAACUUGCUUCUUCACUAGUUUUCUCUAGUGUUCUCAUCUCAGAAUCAUUCCAUAAUAUCAUUUGUUUCAACAAAUAACUCCUCCAGUGAUGCUCAAUUGGCAGUCACUGGUCGCUUUGAGACUCAUCUGAAGGAUGUUCAAUUUUUUUUUUUAUCUUGUACUACUCAUGUACAAUAUGAUACUUCUCAUUUGUAUCUUGUAACAUUCAAGUACAAUAGGAUACUUCUCAUAAUGUAAUCCUAGAGUCAUAAUCUUCUUAAGGCACCUCAUGACUCUUUCAAUAGCAUGACAAUGCUUCUCAUCUGUCUACUAGUAAACUUGAACAAAAGUCUUACGACGUGGCCAAUGUCGAGUCUAAUACAUUCAAUGGCAUAUAUAAAGACUGCCAAUGAUGCUUACCCUCAAGUGUUCUUGAAAAGCUUUACACUUGCAAGUUUAUAGUCAAAGAAUUACAUUUCCUUAAGAUAUUCUCAACUUUGUGAGAUUCAUCAGAAAAGUUUUCUUUUUUGAUCUAGUAAUCUUGAAACCAAGAAUUACUUCACCUUUGUCUAGGUCUUUCUUAUCAAUGUUGUUGAUAAACAAUGAUUUCACAUAAUUCAUAACAUGAAUCUUUAAACCAAAUAUGAGCAAGUCGUCUUCAUAGAGACAUAUGAUCGUGCAAAUAUUAUUUGUCACUUUCAUUCACUUUAUACUCAUUCGAUAGCAUUAGAAUGUCAAAUUUUUCAUGUCAUUCUUUAAGAGUUUAUUUUUUACCUCACAAAGAAUUAUCUAACUUACAAAACUUGUUUUCUAGUCCAUGAAUCACAAAACCUUCAGGUUGUUUAAUAUAGACUUCUUCUUCUAGUUCACCAUAAAGAAGGCAACUUUCACAUCUAUUUGGAAUACUAUCGAGUUAUGAACGGCGGCAAAAGGGACUAGUACUCUUAUGGAUAUGAUACUAGUGACUGGUGAAUAAGUGUCGAAGAAUACUAUAUUUUUCUGUCUAAAACAUUUGACUACAAGGAGAGCCUUGUAUUCAUUGAACCGUAUCAUCAGGUUUUAGUUCUUUUUCCUAAAAUCCAAAUACAACCGGUUAGUUUGCAACUAUGAGACAAGUCAACCAAGUGUCUUGUUUUGUUAGACUCUAGAAAAUCCAUUUCAUCAUUUAUUGCUUCUUGCCAUAAUUCAGCAUCCAAUAAGGAUAUAGCUUCUUUAAGGCUUAAUGGAUAUUCUUCCAAUGUAUAAACCGAGUUCAUACUCUUUAGCUAUUCUAGCUUUCCUACCUCCUCGAGGUUCUAUAACAUCUGGUACGAUGUUUUCAUAACUAUUUAUGAUUACAUGAAUGUGAUCAAAUAUAGUGCCCCCACUAGUUCUUAAUUUUUAGAAGGGAAUUUAUUUUGCCCCCAAUAAUGUUGUGCUCCCACUAGUGCCCCCACUAUUCUUUAGUUAAAGGGGUAAAUAUAUUUCCAUAGAAAUCGACAUCUUUUAAUUCUAUGAUCACUUUAGCAUUUAAGUCAUAAACUUAUAUGCUUCGCUGUUUAUAGCAUACCUAAUGAAUACACAUUCAUAGGCUCUACUAGUGAGUUCAACUCUCUUGGGAUUCAUAGUCAAAAUAUAGUCCAGACAAUCCCAAGUUAAAAAAUAAGACAAGUUGGAUUGUCUUUUCUUCAAAAAUUUCUUAAUUAGAAUUUUUGUUCUUAGACUUGGGUACUCUAUAAAUUUCAAUUUUCGUUAUAAAAAUUGAACAUAUCAAGCAUAUCAAUUUUAUUUUUCAAAAUUCACAGUCAUCAAUAAAUAUGAUAAAAAUAUCCUUUCAUCAUUUCUACUUUAUGUGCCAUCAAAUUCACACAUAUCAUAAUUUAUUAUGUUUAGAGAUUUAUAUCUCUAAAUUCUGAUUUAUAUGAACUUUUGGUUCAUAUAUCUUGACUGCAAUAAAUAAAAUUGUCUAAUCAUAUAACUUUGGAAUUAAAUCCAAGUUACUCAAGUUUAAAAUUAAACGUUUGUUCACAUGACAAAUUUUGAUAUGUCAAAUAUUAAAAUCACACAACUAAUAAAAUAGAAGGAAAAUUUAUUUUGAACAUACCAUCAAGGACACAUCUUUUCCCACAAUAAUGCAUGAUGCACAAAUCUUUCUUUAAGUUUGAGCUAACUCAGUCUUAUUCAAUAGAAAUCUGAAAUUCAGAUUCUUUCUUAUUUUAAAAGCAUGCAACAAGUUCCAAACCUUAACAUUAGCAUCAAGGGAAAAUGGGUAUUCUAAAUUCUUGCAUUUUAAUAUGCUAACUUGCGACUCUGUAUACCCAACAAUAUGCCAUAAAAGUACCUAUAGCAUUUAUAUAAGGGAACUUCUACGGUACACUCACAAAGUGAGGUGUACCGGUACUCUUGCUCAAUAAUUUUAUAAAUUAACGAUCAUUUUUUGUGAAAUAAAUAACUAUUUAUCAACAUUUAUAUUUUAUAGAACAUUAUUUCAUAAGAAAAAACAUCAUUGCAUUGUUUAUAAGAAUUUUAGUAAUAUUUUUACAUAUUAUCGUAAAAAAAUAAUCAAUGUUCUCGAUUAUGGGUGAUAAAAAUUCAAAAAAUAUUAAUUUUAAUUCGUUGACACUUUUGAUGAAUAAGAUUUAGUUAUUAUAAUUAUAAAUGAUAAAAAAAUAAUUUUUUUUUAUCAAAAAACAACUCAUUUAACUAUUAGUUUAAAGAGUGGAUGUACCGGUACACUCAAAUAUAUUGGAUGUACCAUAGAAUUUCGCUUUUGUAUAAUUCGUUGCAUAAGUAAUAAGUUAUGGCCAUUCUUCUUACUGUUUGAAAAAACUGACAUAGAUUUUUCAAUUCUGGUUACUGUUUUAGUGACAAACUAAACUUGUUUGGUUCUAUAACGAAUAAUUUGUUUUGUAACAAAUUAUAGUCUUAAUCAAAUAUUGUUCGAUUUUUUAUUUUAUUCACGGUAUGAUUUUGAUUUUUGAAAACAAAUUUCAAUCAAAUUCAGAGUCACAUUAGUGAAUUUCUUAGUGUUAUUGUUUAUAACUACAAUCACUUUUUCAGUCAAAAGAUGUAUUUAUAUAGUUUGACACAUUAUUUUUGGAUUUCCAAACUGUUGUAUUUGGAUUUCCAAAUUCUAUUAUCUAACGAAGUUGUUACUAGGUUGAGUCACGACCAGGUCGCUCUCUUUAAGACGUUUUGCGGAACUGCCCAAAAUUGUGCAAGGCAGACUAUCAACCACGCCGCCUCCAGGAUAAAACAAGCCCAGCUACAACUGUUCGAUUAACUACUGCACUGUAGAAAAUCGCUCGAGAAUUACACCUCCAAAUAUGGUUCUAAGACCACUCUUUAAUACUGAAACCACUUUAAUAUGGUAUUGUUACCACUCUGUUAUAGUGUUGAGACCACUCAAAUAUGAUGUUAACACCAUUCUAACUUUAAGUUCUCCAAACUAUCAAUAUGGUAAUACGACAACUCAAAUAUGGUGAUACCACCAUUUCUCCUCAAAUAGAAAAAUAUUAAAAUACUUUUUAUAUAUACCGUUAAGAUCAUUCUUAAUUCCGACGGGACAUUGUUAUUCCAAAUAGGUACUAUGAUCUUAAAAAUACUCUUUAUUCUGAAGGGACAUAUAUUAUCGACGAGACUAUGUUUUAAGACCAUUCUUAAUUCCGAAGGGACAUUAAAACGAAAAGGGACUAUGGUCUUAAGAACACUCUUAAUUCCGAAGGGACAGAAAAGGAGUGAAUAGGCCAAAAACCCCCUGAAAUUGUAACUUUCGUCAAAAAUCCCCCUGAUUUUUAAGAAACUUCAAAAACGCCCCUGAAAUUAUCAAACGUCAGUCAAUUACCCCCCUCCGUUUGUUUUGGCUGUUAAAUGACUAUUUUUUAAUUUCUUUUUGCUUUCUUCAUCUUCUUCCUUCCACUUUUUUCAUCAUCUUCAUCAAUAUUCAUAAAAAAAUCCAGAAAAAUUUUAAGAAACAACAACCAUUAACAACAUCAUCAUUAACAUCACACACUUUAUAAUGAUUCUCUCUCUCUUGUUUGUUACCUUCUUGAAUUAAUCAACAACAACCUUUUGGAAUUCAUCAACAACAAAAUGAAUAAUAGAAAAGAUCAUGAACUUGUUUGAAAAAGAACAAGGUUUAUGAUGAAUAGCAUGGACAACAACAUCAACAGCAACGGUUCUUCUCAUUCUCAUGAUGUUACUGUUCCAUCAUCACUCAUGUCUCCUCUUCAGAAUCAAUCACUUUUUAACCCUCAUUCAAAUGGAUUUCUUUUUUGGAGCAGCGAUGAGAUUACCAACAACAAUGAUCAUCAUCAUCAAUUGUCUCUUGAUCUUUCUGCUACGACCCUUUUGGAUAACAAUGAGCAACAAACAAGAGAAGCUAGUAAUGAGAUGAUGAUGAUGUUGUUAAUGGUUGCUGUUUCUUAAUUUUUUUCUGGAUUUUUUAUAAAUAUUCAUGAAGAUGAUGAAAAAAGUGGAAGGAAGAAGAUGAAGAAAGCAAAAAAAUAAAAAAUAGUCAUUUAACAGCCAAAACAAACGGAUGGGGGUAAUUGACUAACGUUUGGCAAUUUCAGGGGGGUUUUUGACGAAAGCUACAAUUUCAAGGGGGUUUUUGCCUAUUUACUCGACAGAAAAGAGUAGAAAAAGGAGAAGGACUUGUCAACACAAGUCGAAGGAGGGAAAAGAGAGGAAAAACACAGGAAGCAUCAACUAUGAAUUUCGGUGUUAAAAUGAAGUUUAUCCAUUAAUCAGUUCAACAACACUUGUGGGUAGGAUGUAAAGAAACAAAUCCACAAAAGUGGAGGAAACAACUAUUGGAUUUGAAUGAAUGAAAUAUAAUAAUAAUUAUAUUAUUAUUCUUAUCACAACCAACAUAAACUAAAUUUAUGAAAAGUGAUAUUCUCGAAUAAAUUAAUAAUUACUAUUAUUUUUAUCAUUACCAAAUAUUUAAAAUUAAAUACCAUAAUUUAAACACUACUAAUGUGUGUGUUCUAUUUUAUGUGGGACCCCCACACUCUAUUUUUUCAAUUCACACAACAUUAGAUUAAAAUAUAAUUACGAUAUUUAAUCUUCCAAUUUUUCAUCCAACAUCACAUCAAUGUUCCAACAUUUACCAUUGACACGCCAAAAUAUAACUGUUAUAUAAACGAACAUUUCUUUGGUUUUGUUAUACAUAGAUAAAACAGUUAUUUCAUAGUUAAGCAUGGUUGCAAAGCAUUUGCUUUUAAUAGCAGAAAAAAUAAUCAUAUAAUAAGGAACGUCGACCAAUAUUACAUUACCAAAACUUAGAACUCAUCAUAUUAUCUAAUUUAUCUGAAUCUUAUUGCCCUUUUAUAUUUUGUAAAACAAAAGUUUAAGAUGCAAGAACAAAUCUCUUUAAAAAUUAUAAGCAAUUAUAACAUAUGGUAAAAGUAACAAAAACUUUAUAAUUAUAUUAAGCAUGAAGACUCGUACAUAUUGAUUGAAUACAUAGUUCAAUACUGAAAAGAAAAAAAACUAAAAGCACCACAUAAUAGAUCCUUUCAGAAUUUAAAACGCAAAUUGAUACGAAGCUGACAGAUUUCGUAAAUUCCAUUCAUCUUUUUCAAACACGCAUACGACUAACAUAGAGAGUCUUGUUGAAGCCGGGAGCUGGAGCACCGAUCUUUAUCGUUUCACCCUGCUGAAUUCUUCAUGCAUCUACCAUCCUUUUCAACUGAAGCAAGAUUAUUAUGGGAGUAAUGGCUAUACCAGUGAGGAAUUGGUAGGAGAGCAAUGCUAGGAGUGGACGAUCUCCCAUGCUUGAAACAGGUAUGUUACGAAUUUGCUUGGAACAAUGGCAAAUCAAGCUGCUCACGCAACAUGGCUUAUAUAGUGCAAGCAUGGACAUGCGAAAGAGGGAGGGGUUUAAAUCUGCAUAGAGAAGCCGAACUGUUAUGUUUGGAAAAUGUAACAGAUGAUUGAAUUGAAUUGAAUGUCUUAAAUGCAAUGGAAUUUACAUGGCUCGGCUGAACUGAAGGGUUGAGGGUGGGAAACUUCAAUUUCAUAGUGCAAUGCUGAUUAAGAAAAACACUUAGUGGGAAAUAUGAAUUGCGGCUAUAAUGGGAAUUAAAUAACCAAGAAAUUAGUGUUAGGGGAAACUUCAGUUUUUCCUUUUCAUUACAUUGUAACUUACAAAAAAUAGUUAAUAACUACAAAAUGAGAAAUAUGAUUUGCGGCUUGUCAUACCUCAUAUUUGAUUCCGAGUCGGGCUCUCUUCUCUCAAUUAUUCUAUUUACUACUUCUAUUUUUUAAACUUCCAUCUUUUAUUAAUUUUCUUUUUAAUUCUAAAUUGAAUUUUAGUCCCUUGGUCUUAUUUAUCUUUUUAUUUUCCCAUAAAAAUCCAAAAAUAUACAUGUUCAUUCCUUUUUAUUAUUUUUUAAGUGAUAAGUCCAAAAGAAAAGUCCCAAACACAGCUCACAAACAGCUAAUCCCAGCCUGUAAUGUCUCCUCUCCAAGCAACAAAAUUUUGCUCUAUAAAUACAAGCAACCCAUAUCGCAACCAAAUCAAAUCCGUACAAAACCGAACCUCAUCAACAAACCUACACAGAUCCAGAUCAAGAAAAAAAAACAAUAAAAAGGUAGUAACCCUUUUUGUAGAUCUAGGGUCCGUUAAACCUCAUUUCAAAAAACCGUUUUCAAAAAAGAGAGGAGAAGGGAAAGGGUAAUCUUUUGGUAAAAAAAAUCAAAAAAAGGAGGAGUUUUUAACUCCGGCGCGGUGGCGCCGCCGCGAAAACUCGCCGACCACCGCGCCGGAACUAUCUCCGGUAGCCUCUCCUCGUCGAAGAAGAUGAAGAAAUUCUAGAGAGAAGGCAGAGCUUCUCUCUCUAGAAAUGAGAGAAGAGAGAGAAAAAGAAAUAAAAAUGAACAUAAAAAACCGGAGCUGGCUAUUUAUAAAGGGAUUGAACCGGUUCAACCUUUAAACCGGUCUGAACCAGUCUAAUCCAAGCCCACACGCGUCUGGCCUCACCCAAGGCCCAAAUCCUCUUCAUUUUAUUUUCUGCACCCCCCUUUACUGCUCACACACCCUCAGCAUCUCUUUUUUUUUUUUUAAUUUCUUUUUCAUGCAUUUUAAUUCUCUCUCUAUCCAGAUUGCUCUGGUCCUAUAUUAACUGUUAAUAUUAUAUUUUUGUUUAAUUUAAUUAUUCUCUAGAACAAUCUGGUCCUUGUUAAAAUGAACAUAAAAAAGAGAGAAGAGAGAGAAGAAGAAAUAAAAAUGAACAUAAAAAACCGAAGCUGGCUAUUUAUAAAGGGAUUGAACCGGUUCAACCUUUAAACCGGUCUGAACCAGUCUAAUCCAAGCUCACACGCGUCUGGCCUCACCCAAGGCCCAAAUCCUCUUCAUUUUAUUUUCUGCACCCCCCUUUACUACUCACACACCCCCAGCAUCUCAUUUUUUUUUUUAAUUUCUUUUUCAUGCAUUUUAAUUCUCUCUCUAUCCAGAGUGCUCUGGUCCUAUAUUAACUGUUAAUAUUAUAUUUUUGUUUAAUUUAAUUAUUCUCCAGAACAAUCUGGUCCUUGUUAAUUAAAUUAAUCCAGAGUGCUCUGGUCCUAAUUAACUGUUAAUAUUAUAUUUUUGUUUAAUUUAAUUAUUCUCCAGAACAAUCUGGUCCUUGUUAACUAAAUUAAUCCAGAACAAUCUGGUCCUUGUUAAUUAAAUUAAUCCAGAGUGCUCUGGUCCUAAAUUAACUGUUAAUAUUAUAUUUUUGUUAAUCCAGAGUGCUCUGGUCCAAACUUAAAAUGUUAAUAUUUAUUUAUUUUUGUUUAAUUUAAUUAUUCUCCAGAAUAUUCUGGUCCAUGUUAAAAUAACUUCACAAUUCAGCUUAACUUCAUUUUUCUCAUUCUGCUUAUAUAAUUUUCAUAUCUUUAUUCCAAAACAACAAAAAUAUUCAAAUAACAAAUCACAAAAAUAUUUUUUCAUUACAAACCUUGAUUCUCAAAUCAAGUGAUCGUUCUUUUUAUUCUUCUUAAUCAAAUUUCAAAUCAAGUCUAAUUCAACUUCAAGUCAAUUUCUUUCAAUCUAAAAAACACAAACCAAUUCUCAUUCGUCACUUGGCUUUUUAUUUCAAAACCUUUUUCAAAACAUAUAAAAAACACAAAACCAAUCAAACGUCAAUUUCUACCCCGAACUACGAGGUUUUGAUCCCUCACAGGUACGUAGGCAGGGGACCUUGUCCUUCCAAAUGAAUUAAAAAACAAUUUUCUUUUUUUUUCUUUUCAACUUUCAACUAAAAAAUAUUUUUCUUUUUUUCUCUUCAAUUAAAAUCAAUUUUCUUUUCUUUUUCAACUCAUCAUUCAAUUCCAUUUUCCAUCUCUUUAAAAGCAAGCAAGUUGUAGCACCAAAAGUUAAAUAAAAUCAAGAGGUUCUCGUAGAGUACUAUGAAUAUUUAGGGUGCUAAUACCUUCCCUAAAUAUAACCAACCCCCGAACCCUAAAUCUUUUCAAAAUGGAUGGUUUGGAACUUUUUCCCCUUAAAAAAAAAUUUGUUCAGUCGUGAGAUAAAAAGUGAGUCAAAAGUCAAUCAAAUGGCCUUGACGUCCGAAAAAUGGCGCGACACGGCUGUAAUGAGAAUUAAAUAAGCAAGAAAUUAGUGUUAGGAGCAACUUCAAAAAAUAGGAAAAAUUGAGCAAAGGACCUGAAACAACAUAAAGCUUUAAAAAAUAGGAAAAGAUAUUGAAAACAGACGUCGUAAUUGUGAGAAAAAAAUAAGCAUAUCACCUAUCAAGCAGUGAUAGGACAUCAGAGUUUCAAUACCACGACAUUCCAUUGCAAUGAUAGAAAAAUGGACGAGAUUGAAUUUUUUUAAGGCGUAUAGUUGUGAUAAAAAAUUACGGUAUCACUAGAAUCAAGAGGCGCUAAAGCUUUAAGUUGCGUAGGGAGCUUUAAUCAUGCGCAGGAGUCAAAUGUGUGAAUUAAAUGCGAUAGAAUAAAUUCUGAUCGAUUGAUUAGGAAAUGCUCUCAAAUUUGAAAUGAAGUGCUUUAAAUUAUUUAAUGUAUGAAAAACAAUUUGAAAUAAAAUGAAUUUAUUGCGUGUUAAAAGGGUGAGAAGGUCAAACCUGUGAAUUAACUGCGUGGGAGGGAAAUUGCUAGGUUAGAUUUAGGGUUAGGGUUAGCUUGACCAGACAAACUUUAGUAAGUAAGAUUUGAUUUUUUUUAUUCAUUACAUAAAUGAUAUAUUUGGUUUAUAUUUUAGACAAGAUACAUCAAUUACUUAAUGAAUCUAAAAAGUUAAAUUUUUCUUAUAAAUAAAACCGGAAGAAGUACCAUGAACAAUAACAAUCUUUCACAGUAAUAUGUUUAGUGCCACGUGAGUCCUGUAUUUUCUAUGUUCUUGUAGGACGUAAAAAGGUUCAAAACUUUGUUUGUUGAGAGAGAAAAUAUGUGUUCCCAUUUAUGGGACAUUCUGAGUAUGAUUGGUGUUAUUGUUUGAUAGUGGGGAGGAGUGAUUGUCUUCUAACUUCUAAGUUCUAACAAUUAGGUUAGGGUUAAAUAUAAAUAAAAUAAAAUAAAUUCAAAGGGGUGGUUGGAUGAUUGGGGUGUGGUAUCCUCAUGGGGGUUGCACGUGAUGUCUCAAAUCACUAACCCGUAAUUAGUAAUUAGUGUUCACAUGAUUGGGUGCAUAAACCAUAUAGAUUCAAUAAUCAUAUUUAUUAGGGUAUAAGUCUUUCUUUGAUGUUGUUUGUAAGAGUUGUACUUCUUCGUUCGUCAGUUUAAUGUACUUUAUCGAUGAAUUUUUAUAGAAAUAUCAUCCGUAAAUUUAAAAGGAGAGGUAAGAACGGAAUACACAUUAUAACGCAUUCAUCAUUUUUUUGGAAAAGCUUAAUAAUCAUCGUUACAAAUACAUAGUCUGAUGCAAAUUUAUACAUGAUUUCUCCCGAAGAAAUAUCUAUCUAUACUAUAUAGUGGCAAGAUAGAUAAAUACACCAUUAUAUCAACACACAACAUUAUUUUUAUUCAUGAAAUAUAUUACUGAGAAAGAGUACAUGGUGCAUGAAGAUAGAUAUCAUUAUGAUCAGUUUUGAGUUUUGUCCUCAGUUUGCUCGGCACCGUGACCACCGUGACCACCUCCACCAUGUCCCCCGUGUCCACCUCCACCGUGGUUGUAACCACCUCCACCGUGGUGGUAACUACCUCCUCCAUGGUUGUAACUACCUCCACCAUGGUUGUAACCACCACCAUAUUUGGCAUCAUUUACUUCAUUAGUCUUUUCCUCAGUUUGCACGGCAACAGAUUCAGCAGCACCAUGACCACCGUGACCUCCUCCACCAUUGUAACCACCUCCACCGUGACCUCCGUGGCCUCCACCACCAUUGUAACCACCUCCGCCAUGGUUGUAACCACCUCCACCGUGGUUGUAACCACCUCCGCCGUGGUUGUAACCACCACCAUUGUAACCUCCUCCACCAUGGUUGUAGCCACCUCCACCGUUGUUGUAACCACCACCACCAUGGUUGUAACCACCUCCACCGUUGUUGUAACCACCACCGCCGUGGUUAUAACCUCCACCAUUAUAACCACCACCACCGUGGUUGUAACCUCCACCAUAGCCUCCAUAUUUGGCAUCGUUUACUUCAUUAGUCUUUUCAACAACUUCUGAAACACGAUAUAUAUGAAUUGUUAAAUCAUUACUUCAAAUAUAUAUGAAUUUAAUGGUAGUGGGUUGACGAUAUAAAAUAACUUUGUAUACAAGACUAAUCAAAAUAUUUCAAGUUUCCCUGCAAAUUAAAAAAUAUUAAUUGAUGUGGUGAUUCUAAAUAUUUUCAAUGGUUUUGUGUGCAAAAAUUUUUUGAACCAUCAACCAACCACCAUUAAACUUAAUAUAUAUAUAUAUAUAUAUAUGAUUAUGUAUUCACACCGGCGUAAUGUUUGAAUAAUUUUACAUUUCUCACAAACUUAUUGAAUAUAGAAUUAUACCAAAUUUAAAAAGACUCACAAUUGAAUAUAUAAUAUAAUUAUAUCAUAUUGAUCAUCUUUGUAAGUUAUGAAGCAAAUUUGAAAUCAUUUUAUAUAAAAUUGAGUGCAUGAAGAUUAACGUUUACAUAGAAAAGAAUUAAUUAUAACGUAUAAAAUUAUAUAAUUAAGUAUAAAAGAAUUAUCCUUCAAAAAAGUAGAAAAGAAUUAAAACAUAUAUCUAAAACGCUCAUGAAAACAUAUAUAAAGAAACAUAAUAUAAUAUAUAGCUCACCCUUUUUAGUAUCAGUGGAAGUUUCAGUUAAGUCCCUAGCGGACAUCACUGAGGAAAUAAGAGCCAUAGCCAAUAGGCCUAGCAUGAGGAUUGCCUUUUUCGAAUCCAUUGUUCAAAUGUGAUAUUUAGUAGUGAACGAUGAGAAAAACUAGUAAGAAGUGUACUCUAUAUAUAAUGGAGGGAAGGAGGGAGAUGUAGGGACCUUCACUUGGCAGUUGAGAAGGUAGCUCUUGUGUAUUAAUUCAUUACUUUGUAGGUUCAUAAUGUAUCUAGUCAUAUUAUAGAUCAGAUACAUUUCAUCAGCAAUUAUAUUGAUGAAACUUCUUCUUGUUCUUGUUCUUGUCGAAUGAGUCUUCAACUAUUGCUUCAUCUUCACCUCUCAUCAGCAAUUCCAACGAGCCUUCCACUUUUUCUUCCUUUUGAAAAUUCAUGAAGUCUUUUUAUUUUUCUUCUCUCAAAUAUAUUCUUUUACUUUUCACUUGAGAUUUUUAACAAUUGCUACUCAUCUUAUUUAUAGAAUUUUAACUCUUCUUAGAACCAUUGUCUAUAACAAAAUUUUGUUUAAAUUUGAAGAUAAUGAGAAACAAACUUUGUUUAAUAAAAAACUUUGUUCCAAAGAGAUAGCAUUAAUUUAGUUUUAUUGAAAAAGAUAAGAGUAAUUGAUAAAGGAUAUAAUUGAAAAAUCGUACGCUUAAAAUACCAAAAAGACAGUUAAAUAGUAACGAAAAAUUCAUCCAAAAAAGACACUUAAAAAGAAACGGAGGGAAUAGUAUUUCAUAUCUUAUUUAUGUAUUAACAAAAAAUAUAAAAUUUUGAUAUUUUAAAAAUAUUCGACAAAUACAAAAAUAUCUUAUAUAUUAUCAUUUGCCUAUAUAAUAUACGAUAGUAAAAAAAAGAUGAUUAAAGUAUGUUAGGUAAAUAAUGCAUUUAGUCACUUGUUUUAGAAUAGAGUAGUUGUAAAGAUUGAAGGCUAUGAAAAUGGAGAUGAGUUAUGUCUACUUGCUAUUGGCUGAAAGUGACAUUUUGAAAGCAUGCUAUUGGUUCAUACUAGCUAUCUCAUCCCAUGGAGAUACAUACAUUCAAACUUAUCCAGACACAUUCAUAAUAUGUUUUCUAUAACUAAACAAAAUUAGCAAAAGAGUAUUACAGAGGUAGACUCUAAACUUUUUAAAGAACAGUGAUGUUGAAUACUUGUUUGAGAAAGUCGUGUGUAGGCAUAAUCAUUUAGACACAAAGUUUAGGCACAUACACAUAAAUAAAUAAAAUUAAAAGAUAAAUAAAAUAGUUACAUCAAUCAAUAUCACUUUAAUUAUUUUCUUUUUAAUGUUUUAUUUCAUAGGUGUGUGCCUAAAUGUGAGAUGUUGGUCUUGUGAUCAAGUUAGAGUUUCUCAACUAGCUUUUACCGUCGUAUAAUUUUAUUUGCUUCAAACGAUUACACAAAUUAAGAAAGAAUCUAUGUUUCUCAACUAUAUUAAGAAAACGAGUUGUUAGAACUAAAAUAUCGAAAUAUAAAAUAUGAAUAAAUGCUUUCUUAAUUCAAAGAGCAAUGAUAUCGAAACAUAAACUUUGCAAUUUGGUUAUUAGUUGAAUAUAAUCCGGAUGUACGAUCUUGGAUCGACGGCUGAGAUUAUUUUUCCGUGUAAAAUUAAUUUUAUAAUUUGAAUAAUUGAAUCACAAAUCAAUGGUCAAGAUUCACUACAUCGUAAAACUGCGUGUUGUUUUUCCAGCAUGGAAUUUGGGUCCCUAUACUCCGAUUCAUCACAAUAAUGAAAUAGAACUAUAAAUAACCUAUCGUUACAGAGGUAAACACAAUUGACUGAACUACAUGCAUGAACAAAAACCAAGUCUUAUUUUCACGUGAUUUUUGUUUCUUUCAUACCGGUUGUGGUUCUAAAACCUUCCUAAUUGAUUCUUACAUCCACCCUUAGCUAAGAUUCUUAUUUGGGACUUGGGAGUGUCACUCCGAAAGUGAUACUAUUAGAGGACACAAUUGAAAAAAUAUAUAUCAUACUGAAAAUUUAAUGUGACAAUUAUUUUACGAUAACUAUUUACAUAUAUGUCACUCAUCGUUUAACGAAAUAUGGUAAUGAUUUUUCUAAACACCAAACAUUUUGUUAUGACAAUAAUAUUUUAGUUUUUAUUAAAUAAGUAACUUUUUUUACAAAGGAAAACUUAGGUGAGUUGGACUCCAAGCAUUAAAAAUAUAGUUACAAAGCACACAUAACUAAAAGAUCUUUAUAUUAACAACGGAGAUUGAACUUACGAUGAUGUCAAUCAACUCAUUAACAACUGAAUCAACAUUCGCUAACGACCACGACCCACGCCUUCCCCUCCCUUACUGUUCAACUGAAGUACUAUGUUGAAUUAAAUUGCCAGCAACAAACGAUAACGAGACUCACCCACUUAUUCGAGUUUUCCUUUUCCUUCAAUUCUAACAAAAUUUAUGCAUUUAAAUAUUUAAUGUUUCUUUGUUUUUUCCUAUAGAUACAAAUUUGCGGGUAUGAGCAUUUAAUGUUAAGCAAAAAUAUCGCCAAAUAACAUUGCAAUUUGUGAAAAAUAUCAUGAUUAACGAUCUACUCGUCCAUGGAUUAACGGCGGUAACAUUGUUGCUGGCUCCAUUAUUAGUAAUUAGUUCUAUGGUCGACUCAAAUGAUCUAAACUGUAAACUUAACUUCAAAUGUUUGCUAGAACUGCAAGACAGAAAAAGAAAGAAAAGAAAAACAUAUGUAACGUGAAAAUUGAAAGUAAGUUCCAGAUUGUAUGAUAAAAAGUAGAGUUGUUUGGUAAAGCCUAUAAUUAGUACCAUUGUUUUAUCAUAAAUUUAUUUUGAGAUAUUUUUUUCUUUUUUGCAUAAUUUUAUUAAAAUUGAGGUGUUGUAAAUAUUUUUAUGAUCUCUUACAUUUAUUAACGGUGGAUCAUUUGGAAAACAUCAAAAUUUCAAUUAUAGCUGCAUAAUUUUUAGUUAGACUUUCUUUACUUCCUGACCAUCAGGGGUGGGAAUAGGUUAGGCCGAGUUAGGCUUUGCAAGGCCUGAGCCUGAUCUGUCAAAUUUUAUGAAGGACUAAGUCUGGUCUGCGGUCUGUCAUAAACUUACUUUUUAGGUCUGAGUCUAACCUUCUGAAAGUUUGAUACGGUCUGCUAGCCUGUUUAAAAGCAUAUUUCAUAUAAACAUCUUUAAAUAAGCAAUGUUAUCUAAGUUUAAAUAGACUAACGAACUAAUAUAUCAAAUAGAUUAAACUCUCUUUUGAUAAUCAACAUGACUUUUUAGAGAAUUUGAUUAUAUAUUGUAUCAUAUUUCAAUUCUACUUUAUAAUAAUACAUUUAAAUAUGCAAAAAUAUAAUGUAUACUAAUAAACUUAAAUUACUAAAUUACUGAAAAAGUUAACAAAUUUUUAUUUUAAUUCAAAGUACAAAAUAUAAUAUAAUAAUAAAUAAUAUUAUUCAUAUUUAGGCUUAAUUACCUUUUUGAUCCUCUAACUAUUUAGUUGGUAUCAGAUUGAUCCUCUAACUAAAAAUUGAUUUAUUUCGGUCCUCUAAGUUUCUCACUGUUAUUACAUUUAGUCAUUUCUGUUAGUUUUAUUCAAAUAAACGUUAGAGUUUGUGUUAUGUGGGUAUCUGACCUCCUGUUUCACACAUACAUAUGAACCAUAACAGUUACCAAUAAUAUCAGUCACUAUUUAAUCAUAAUACCUUAACAAUGAAUAUGACCAAAAUGAUACUAAUAAAUAAAGUUAGAGGACCCAUAUAACACAAACCCCAACGUUUAUUUGAAUAAAACUAACAGAAAGGACUAAAUAUAGUUAUAGUGAGAAACUUAGAGGACCGAAAUAAAUCAAUUUUUAGUUAGAGGACUAAUCCGAUACCAAUUAAAUAGUUAGAGGACCAAAAAGAUAAUUUAGCCUCAUAUUUACUUAAAUAGUCCGGCCUAAUAGGCCUAAAAGGCUUUUAGAAUGACAUGUGGUCUGACCUUUUAAGCUAAAUGGGCUUCUAAAAAAGUCUAGGCCUUCUCUGUUUAGGAAAAAAGUAUGAUCUGGCCUAGCCUAUCGUAUGUAUGCUAGGUCGUAGGCCCCUGUAGGCUGGCCUGACCUAUUCCCAUCCCUACUGACCAUACUCGGAUCACUAAGAUAUUUUUCUCACAAAGAUAGAGAUAUAAGACCGAAAAACACAAUUACGUACACUUAUUCGUAAAACAAUCUUACGUACACUUGUUUGUAAAAUGAGAUCAACCAUGAUAAUAAACAUGUUUUAAUUUCAUAAACAUAUUUAACAUUUUUUUUUAUCACAUCAUUAAACUAUCAUAUAUUAAUUUAUUUAUUUUUUCAUCUUUAUUUUUAAAGCAUACUCCUUUCGUUUUAAAAUAUAAGUAAAUUUUACUUUUUAGGUUCAUUUAAAUAAUGAUGUAUAUGGUUUAUAAUAUGGGUCACAUACAUCAUUAAUUGAAUGAAUUUAAAAAGUAAAAUUUACUUAUAUUUUGAAACGAAGGGAGUAUACAAAAGAUUUUCCAAAUGAGAUAGAAAGAUUUUUCUUUUCAAAUGAAUGAUUGAUCCCAUAUUUAGAGAAGGGGCUAGUUGUUUCCUAUGCAACUAACAAAAUAGACCACUCAUCUGAUAACAAGGAAGUGAGAAGAAUUCACAGAACACUUGGAUAGGUCAUUCAAAAAAAAAAAAAACUAGCAUAAGUCAUUUGGUGCCGCCAUUCAAUUAAUUCAUUUCAUACCGACACUUUGACAAUAUUGAGGCAUCAAAUGCAAUCGUUUUUUAUUUUAUUUUCUAUGAUUAAAAUCGACAUUGUUUUUUGGUGAGAUUCGCAAGUGGCAAGCCACGUAACUGUACAAGUUCAACAUGCAUUUGACUUUAGCAAAACAAAUUUCAAUCUUAGAUUAGAUCACGUGUUUGUUUUCAUUUGUUAGAAUCCAUUUUUCUAGUGUAGUAUCCGUUUAAGAGGAAAUGAAUUUUUAAAGUGAAAAUCUCUCUAACUUUUCUCAAUUGUUAUAUUAAAAUCAUUAAACAUGAAAGAGAAAAAGAGAUAUAAAAUUAUAAAAAAAAAAAUAUUAAACUUAUGUUUUAGAUGUAAUAAUUGAGAAAAAUUAAAACCGUUUCAAUUUUUUUUUUAAAUGGCCAAAUAUUAUUAACCACUAAUAAGCUUGGGUGGUAAAAAAUACAAAGAUUUAUUUCCACAUUAAGAUGGUUGUAGGUUUUUGGGUAAAAUAUGUUUUAAUCAGUCUAAAUAUAUGUGCUUUCAAUUUUAGUCUUACAUAAUUUUAAUAGUAAUUGUAAUUGGUCCUUCAUGUCAAAUGGGUUGCUAUUUGAGGCUUUGAGCUAAAGGAAUUUGAGGGAUUCUUCCAUGCUCACAAGACCAAAUCAAUAGUGAUUGGACAUAAACGCAAAAAGAUGGUCUUUAAAAUAUUCAAUAUUUAAUUAUUCUUUUGGUCCCUUAACUUAUUUUUUGGUUUCGUUUUGGUACCUUAACUAUUAAAAGUUUUAUUUUGGUCCCUUAACUUAUUUUUUGCUUUCGUUUUGGUCCCUUAACUAUUAAAAGUUUCAUUUUGGUCCUUUAACUUACUUUUUGGUUUUGUUUUGGUCCCUUAACUCAUCCUCUGUCAACCACUUUGGUCUUUUAUAUUAGGAUGAAUGUAUUAGAGUUAAGGGACCAAAAUGAAACCAAAAAAUAAGUUAAGGGACCAAAACGAAACCAAAAAGUAAGUUAAAGGACCAAAACGAAAUUUUUAAUAGUUAAGGGACCAAAAUGAAACCAAAAAAUAAGUUAUGGGACUGAAACGAAACUUUUAAUAAUUAAGGAACCAAAACGAAACAAAAAAAUAAGUUAAGGGAUCAAAAGAGUAAUUAAGCCUUUUUUUUUUUUAUCAAUUUCCUCUUUAUUAUUAAAAAACUAUUCUUUUUGUUUGUGUGUCAAACACUUUUUAUUUGGUCAUGUGACCAUAUUAAAAUUUCUCAAGGAAUCAUGACUAGAUACGCCUCGUGGACAUUUUGAUUGACGUACGGUGUUGACUCGUGAAUAAACAUUAGACUCAAUUGUUAUUUCAUAUAUGUAUCAUCGAAAUUUUAGAGACAUUGUUUUAAAACUUACUCUGAUUCAUCAAUUUAUACUUUUUUAAUUUAAACUAUCAUAUGUUUAUUUUAAAAAAAAAUCAUGAAAUAAAAAAAUUAAAAAAAAUAAAAACUCAUGACCAUAUUCUCGAAUCCCAAGUUCCCAAUUUCUUCUACCUAAUUCCAUGAAUAAUAUGAGUGUUUCACAUAUAUGAGUUUGAUUAAUUUUUCACAGUAUUGGGUGUGAGGAAUUUUUCAAGCACUACCGACAAAAGAAAUAGAGAUCACUUCGUCGUUACUUUGCACAACAAUGUCUUAAUCAUUCUAAAAAAACACUCUUCAUAUCUUUAAAUUUAGGCAUUUUCAUGGAAAAGUGAUGUUUGUCUUUAGAAAGUGUACUAAAUUGUCGUUAAGUAGUAAAAUUUAUAAGUUAGUAUCGAUGUAGAUUGUGAAAUCUCAAUUUAACUACUACGAUAAUAGUUUGGAUAUAUACAAUUGGGGGGUGUUUCACUUGGCAAUGGUUGGAUUAACUGUUCUUUAAAGAAAAAGGUAAGACACUGAUUAGGUCAUGAUAGAUCUGCUUCUCUUAAUUACAUAGAAACUUGCCGCCUUGGUUGCAAUUGUUCGAAUAGUUUAGUUUCACGACAUUUGAUCAAAAUAGUUAAGUUAAUUUUUAGUUCACUAACCUUUUUCUCUUGUUACGACCCCCUAAUGUCUUAUGUGAAACUAUAUCAAUUGAAGGCUUGAUUAUAUGCCAAAUUAUUAUCACAAAGCAGUUAGCUCAAGCCCCGAAGCUAAGGUUAGUGGUCAUCGAGACCAAAAUUAGUUUAUGAACAUUCAUAAUCGUAUAAAAAAGCAUUAAGAACAAUUAUAGCUGAAUAAAACCAAGCAAUCAUUUGUAAUCAAAAAACUUUUAUGGUUCGGAUUUUGGGAUAAGGGAGAGAGAGAAAGUGAAAAGUUUAAAUGUAAAACUGUAAAAUGCGGGGAAGGAUGAUUUUUCUUAUAUAUAUCAAAACGAUUCAGAUUAUAUAAUCUGAACCAGUUUUCGUAUUAUUUUAAAUUUCAAAAUCUGAAGGGUAGUUUUAGAAUUUUUAUAUGGUGCGUGGGUAUCUCAUAUUGUAGGAAAAGUAAUAGUCCUAAAAUAUUAUUGGUAGAAAAAUGUAUUGGGCCAUGGGAAAAAAGUUGGACUUUAGUGAAAAGAGUAAUAGAUUGUAAUCAAUUUAAAAAGUAUAUUUAUUUAUUAAUUAAUUAUUCGGUUCAACCGGUUUAAUUAGUUGAACCAUAAACCGGAGUCUUACUGGUUUAAUCUUCGGUUUGGUUUUAAAAACAUUAAUAUAUAUAAUAAUAAUAAUAAUAAUAAUAAUAAUUGUACCAAAAAAAAUAAAUAAUAAUAAUAAUAAUAAAAGUAGUUUGACGACCCAAGAUGACCAAAGACUGACAACACCACCAAAAAGAAUCAAACAAAAAAAACACCAACAUAAAAAAUAAAAAUAAAAACAUCCCAAUGACCCAAACCAAAAGCAGAAUGGACCAGGUCAACUACACCAAAGAGAAAGAAACAUAGGCACCCAGACAAGCCCCCCAAAGCACCCAUACAAGCCCCCCACAUAGCAACUACCGGCUCAAGUAGAGAAUUGCUUCCACCACUCACUCAUAGUGAGGGCAAGGCGAACCAAGGUGGGACUUAUAAAAAAAACCAAUAACACAAAGAGAACUGGGUCUUCAGAACCAAUUCCUCCACAUCUAGAAUCUUACCGACAAACACAAAAUCAUUAAUGUAACAUGUGUCACAUUGCGUGAAUGUUGUAAAUUUUAAGUACUAAUUUUGCUUUCUAUUCAUAAAAAUUGUGACCUUUAACCGAAAAAUUGUGAUAUAUUAAAAAUAUGUAUUAAGAACAGGGCUGACCCAAGCUAUAGGCAAAUUAGGCAUUUGCUUAAGGCCUUGAUUUUUUUUAUUUUUUUUUUACCUAUUAUGCAUGGUACCAAUUUUUUUUAGCGAAUCUCAUAUUUAUUUAUGGUGAUAAAAAAUUUAAGAGAAAUAAUACAAGUUGUCGAAUGAUAUAGCGAUUGAUUUGCUUAAUUUUAUAGAAAGACUUGGUUUUUUUCCAGAUGUGUAUAUUGGUUAUAGAAUAUAAUGUUAACAAUUCAUAUAAUUGUUGUGUCUGCAAAUUUGAAUUUGUUUUACUGUCGAUUCAAAAAGAAUUGUUAAACUAAACCGAUUACAAUAAUUUUGCAUCCAAAAAAAAUCGAAAUCACUUUGAAUAAAAAUAUUAUUUUUGUAAAAAAAAUAUAUAAUUAAUAAUUUCUUUUUUGUACAAACCAUGCUCCAUUUUAGAUUUCGCGUUGAGCAUCAAUAUGUGUUGGAACGGUCCUGAUUAAAAAAGUUUUAUGCUAUGUAUUUUUUUACCAGUGAAUUAUAGAAAUCUCAUCCAUAAAUUUAAAAAGAGAGGUAAUAAGACAAGAUAACACAUUCAUCAUUUUUUGGAAAAGCUUAUCAUCAUUACAAAUACAUAGUCUGAUGCAAAUUUAUACAUGAUUUCUCCCGAAGAAAUAUCUAUCUAUACUAUAUAGUGGCAAGAUAGAUAAAUACACCAUUAUAUCAACACACAACAUUAUUUUUAUUCAUGAAAUAUAUUACUGAGAAAGAGUGCAUGGUGCAUGAAGAUAGAUAUCAUUAUGAUCAGUUUUGAGUUUUGUCCUCAGUUUGCUCGGCACCGUGACCACCGUGACCACCUCCACCGUGUCCUCCGUGUCCACCUCCACCGUGGUUGUAACCACCUCCACCGUGGUGGUAACUACCUCCUCCAUGGUUGUAACUACCUCCACCAUGGUUGUAACUUCCACCAUGGUUGUAACUACCACCACCAUAUUUGGCAUCAUUUACUUCAUUAGUCUUUUCCUCAGUUUGCACGGCAACAGAUUCAGCAGCACCGUGACCACCAUGACCUCCUCCACCAUUGUAACCACCAUGACCUCCUCCACCAUUGUAACCACCGUGACCUCCGUGGCCUCCACCACCAUUGUAACCACCUCCACCAUGGUUGUAACCACCUCCACCGUUGUGGUAACCACCACCACCGUUGUGGUAACCACCACCGUGGUUAUAACCUCCACCAUUGUAACCACCACCGUGGUUAUAACCACCAUGGUUGUAGCCUCCAUAUUUGGCAUCGUUUACUUCAUUAGUCUUUUCAACAACUUCUGCAAACACAAUAUAUGAAUCAUUACUUUAUUUAUAAUUAACUAGAAAAGAAUUUAAAAAAUAUAGAAAAUGCUUGUGAAAGUAUUUAUAAAGAAAAAUAAUAUAUAGCUCACCCUUUUUGGCAUCAGUGGAAGUUUCAGUUAAUUCCCUAGCAGACAUCACUGAGGAAAUAAGAGCCAUAGCCAAGAGGCCUAGCAUGAGGAUUGCCUUUUUUGAAUCCAUUGUUCAAACUUUGUUCAAAUGUGAUAUUUAGUAGUGAACUAUGAUAAAACUAAGUAAGAAGUGUGCUCUAUAUAUAAUGGAGGAGUGAAGUAGGGGACCUUUACUUGGUAGUUGAGAUGGUAGCUAGUGUGUAUUAAUUCAUUACUUUUUAGAUUCACAAUGUAUCUAGUUUAUAUGAUAGGCUAUAUACAUCUUUUAUACAAUUAAUCAAAAAAAUGAAAUUUUAUUUAUAAUAGUGAUCGAAUAGUGUAUAUAUCUAUAAAUUUUAAACUAAAAUAGUUGUUUGAUGAUUUCGAUACCAUUUAUUUUGACUACUUCCUUCGAUCCAAAAUAAAUGAUCUUGUCGAUUGUUUUAAGCAUAUCAAUGCACAUCUUUGAUUUUUAAUACUCUCUUCAUCCUAGAUUAACUGAGUCAUUUGCUCAUUCACACAUAUUAAGAAAAAUGUAUAAAUGAAGGAGAUAAAAAAAUGAUUAUAAGUGUUUUUGUUAUGUAUUUGUGCAUUCUCCACUAUCAUAAAUGCAAAGUAUAAUAUAUUGAAUUGAAAGUGAUGAAAGUAGUAUUAAUUAGAAGAAAAAAUAAUUAAUAUUGUAUUGAAAAAUGAAAUGAAUCAAUUAUUUUAAGACAAUAUUUUUUUACAAAAAGUUCAGUCAUUAUGAGACGGAGGAAGUAUUAUUUAUUUAUGUAUUAACAAAAAAACAUAAAUAAAAAUUGAUAUUUUAAAAAUAUUCAUUGAGACAAAUAAAAAAAUAUCUUAUAUAUUAUCAUUUGUCUUUAUAUAAUAGUAAAAAAAAAAAAAAAAACUAAGUGAAUAAUAGACAUAGUCAAAUAAUUUCAUAAUUGAGAGAGUUGUAAAGAUCGAAGGCUAUGAAAAUGGUGAUGAGUUAGGUCUACUUGCUAUUGGCUGAAAGUGACGUUUUGAAAGCAUGCUAUUGGUUCGUACUAACUAUCUCAUCCCAUGGAGAUACAUACAUUCAAACUUAUCCAAACAAAUUCAAAAUAUGUUUUCUAUAACUAAACAAAAUUAGCAAAAGAGUAUUACAGAGGUACACUCGAAACUUUUUAAAGAACAGUGUUAUUGAAUACCACUCCUUUCAAUUAGAUACAUAUCACAUUUUAUUGAUGAUAUAAAUGUUUAUUAUAAAUAAGAUUAGAUGAAGUAGCCGUUAACAUCUUAUAAUUAUAUUUGCUUGAAAUGAUUACACAAAUUAAGAAACAAACUAUGUUUCUCAACUAUAGGUUCUUUAAUUACUCUAAAUAGUAAGAAAAACAUAAGUUUUUCUGAGGGAGUAGGAAAAACAUAAGUUAAAAGCUUAAUACAACUCAAAUUCCUAGAAUCCCUCGGCUAUGAGUGGAAAGCUUUCGUUUGGUGGAUUUGGAUCCUCUUUAUUGAAAAUUUUCUUCAAUUUUCUCCAUUUUCAAUCUUCACCAUUAAAAUACAACUACUAUUUGUUAGUAUAAUUUAAUUAUCACUUUCUCUCUCAUGAUUGAUGGUUGAGAUUUUACAUGAAAAAAUUUGAGAGAAUUUUCAAUGGAGAGAAUCCUAAUCCUCGUUUGGUUUGGUUUUUUUGGCUCAUAUAUUCAAACCAAGUAAGAAUAAUUCAUUUGUUUUGACUUGGAUUUUACAAAUUUUUUAUUAAAUCCAAAUGAAAGUUAAGUGAUUAAAAAUGGGCCAGCUUGCCUCAAAUAAUCACUCAAGUUGAUAUUUUAAAAUUUAAUAUUUUUUAUAAAUUUUAAAAAAUUAAGUUUUCUUUAAGAAUAUUAUAGAUUUUUUAACAUUAUUUUUUUUAUCAGAGGGAAAUAAAAGACACAAAAGAAAAAAAAAACUAAACAACUCAUUGUCUAAACACCCCAAAGACAUCAGCAAGCAAGUCCAGAUCCAACUCUUUAAGAGGGGAAUUGUAACACCCCGUUUUCCCAAUAUAAAAAUUUCAUAAAUUAAUCAGAGUAAAACACCUUAAACGGAAUAUUACACUUCUUUUCUUAAAAACAUAAAUGGAAUAAUUAUCCUUCAAAUUUCAACAACGUAUUGUCAUACCCCAAUUUUUGACCUAAGGCCCCACUGACACAUGUCACUUGACUCUGAUCGAUCUCUGAUUUUUCAGUGAAAAAAUUCGGCAGGGAGGUAUUUUAAAAUACCUUAUUUUUGAUUCCGAGUCGGACCCUCUUUUCUCUUUUUAUUUUCUUUCUAUCUUUUAUUAAUUUUAAUUUUAAGAUUAGUUACUUUUUUAUAUUUAAUAAUUUUUAUUUUCCAUCUUUUAAUUUUAUUUUUCUUUACAUAAUUUAGUUUAAUUUGUUUUUAUUUUAUUUCGUAUUAGAUUUAUUUUAUUUUUAUUUUUCUUUUUAAUUAAUUAGUGUCCAAAAAAAAAAAACAAAGUGUCAAUAGGUCCAAAAUAAAAUGUACAAGGUCUAAAAAAAUUCAAGUCAAGUGUCAACUUUAACAUUUCUUUUUCAAAAUUCACCAUAAUUGUCCAUCAUUUUCAUUAAACCAAUUUUCCAUUUUUCAUCAACCUCCUCACCUAUAAAUAGAGCCCUCAUUCCACACAAUUUCACACACCAAAAGUUCUCUUGAGUUGUCAAAGAACUUUUCUCUCUUCUCCCUCUUUAGCUUGUGUUGACGAGCUAUUCUUUUCUUCUCCCUCUUUUUUCUGUCCCUUCGGAAUAAGUCCCUUCGGUAAUUUUUGUCCCUUCGGUUGUCAAUUUCUUUUAUUUUCUUGAAUUUUAUUUCUUUUUAGUAUUUUUGCAUUUUUUUUUAUUUCUAUUUAGCAUUUUAAUUAUUUUUAUUUAUUUUCCAGCAAUUAGAAUGUAUUUAGGUCCAAUGUAAAUAUAAAUGAGAAAAGUGUGUGGGUGUGUGUGUCCUUUUAUUUCUUUACCGCCUUAUAUAUAUCCAAAAUUGCAAAAAAAAAAAUAGAUCAGGGAUUUUGUGGUGAUCCAACGUCACUACAAAAAUCCACGCGCUUUUAUUUUUAUUGCUCCGUUAGUUUAAUUUUUAUUUAAUAUUCCAAAAAAACAACAAAAAACAUGCAAAUAAUCAAAAUCACAAAAAUAUUUUCAUAAUAAACCUUGAUCCAAAUCAAGUGACCGCAUUUUUAUUUUCUUUUCUCCAUCAAACUUCAAUCAAUUUAACUUUACUUUUAAGUCUCUUUUUUCAAUAUUAAAAAACACAAACAAAUACUCAUUUGCCACUUGGCUUUUCAUUUUAAAACCUUUUUCAAAACUAAUAAAAAACACUCAACAAAUCAAACGUCAAUUUCUACCCCGAACUACGAGGUUUUGAUCCCUCACGGGUACGUAGGCAGAGGACCAUGUCCUUCCAAAUCAAUAAAAAAUGUAGAUAAUUAGGUCUUUAUUUUUAUCAGUUUAAUUCAUUCUUUUCAAAAAUAAUAAGCAAGUUAUAGCACAUUAAUUAAAUAAAAUCAAGAGGUUCUCGUAGAGUACUACGAAUAUUUAGGGUGCUAAUACCUUCCCUAAAUAUAACCAACCCCCGAACCCUAAAUCUCUCAAUAUGGGGUGUUUUGAACUUUUUUCACCUUUUUCUUAAAAAAUAAAAUGUUCAGUCGUGAAAUAAUUAGCGAGUCAAAAGCUAAUCAAAUAGCCUUGAUCUCCGAAAAAUGACGCGACAGAAAUGGCGACUUCACUGAUGAUGCCCUAAGAGGGUUGAGCCUAACUUGGCUUUAUUUAAUUAUUUGUGCUAUAACUUGCUUAAAACAAAAAAUAAAAAUGAUGGAAAUACUUGUAUAUUUGUUCUCUCUUCUUCUUUCUUCUUUCUUCUUUCUUAAACGUGAGUGGUGAGAUAAGUUCUACACCCGGACUUGAGAGAAAUAUAAGAUAGGAGUGGUAGACUCAUAGUGGCAUACCGGGAGUAUACUCGUGUCUAGUCACAUGUGAGAUAACCACACUUAGCGGAGGAGCUUGAAGUGAUAUAUGUCGGCGUGUGUUUUCACGUUUAGACUUUAUUACUCUUAAGUUUCCAAUGAAGCUAAGGACCUUUAGUAACCCUUAACCCAUCCUGGCCUUUUAGGACGUAGUGCGGUGGCUAACCGGAUGUUUUCUCGAAACUAGUCGACACGCGAUACUACACUCAAAUGAGACUUUCCUACGAACGUUGUUGGACCGGGUGUUUUCUCGAUAUCCGAUAAUAUUCGGAAGUAGUCGAGGACUUUGGGAACUUGGUAGAACCCGUGAUACAGGUACAUUUGAAACCAUAGUCCCUACCAAAUGGCGUUGUUAUCCUUAAGCUCCAACAUUAUGGACUUAACCUCACCAUGCAUUCCAUGUUCCUUAGCAUAAUCAUGCAUACAUGCAUUCAUUCAUAAAACUUUUGUUCUUCUCACUAAUAUCGAAGGACUUAGAUAAGUUCUUGUAAACAUCAAUGAUAUGGACCUUGUAAGAAGGAACACCUACAACUUCAAAAACCUUAACUAAGCUUUAGCUUUUGUUAAGAAUUUUUUCCUUGGUUUCGUUCUUACUUUUGAAAUGGGAACCAAUUGCAACAUCUUCACAAUUUUCAAAUAAAACAAUGUUCCUUAUCAAGUUUACAAUUACUUUGACAAGUCCUUCAAAAAAAACAAAUGUGUCUAUUUUUGCAUAAGCAUAGCAUGCAUACAUAAUUUCAAGUCUGAGUCUUACACUGUGUCUUUUCUACUAAAGGUCAAUCCAUCUCAAAGGUGUCCCAACUGUCCUCGUCCAAAGUCAACUCGCACCUACAACACUCGGGCAAACAAAAAAAGAGAACGUAUCAGUUUGAACAAGAAAUCCACGAGCAUUCGUGAAGAGGUAACAACACUAUUGACGUUCCUUCCGCUACUUUUUGUUCAAUUAAUGUUUGUUUGUUGAUUUUCGCUUUUCAAAAAAAAAAAAAAAAAACAUCCUUUCGUCCCGCCUGAGAUGAAAUUGAUCUUGUGUAGGGCUUUUUGCUUUAAGUAUUGGUCAUCUUUAAUAAAAAGGUCGUUUUAAUCCCGACUUUAUUUUAUUUUGUGCUUUUUCUGAAAAAUGGUAAUACAAAAAACCAAAAAGAAUUUCUUUAAUCAUUCGCAUAUAUCUGCAUAAUCAUAGCUUGUACUUACUUGUCAAAAUCAAUAAUCAAAUCAUGCAUUAAUAAACCCGUUGAACAUAAUAACCAUGUACUCUCUCCCAACUUUGAGUUCUCUGUGACCGAAGAUAAGGAAGAGGAGAAUGAAGAGGCUCCCAGCAAGAUCUCUCGCCCACUGAGGCAUCUUAGCCGUCAAAGCUGCAAACAAAAUAUCAAAGAAGAUUGUCCAAAAAAAUUGCUUUCAUUUACAAAGACUGGCACGAGAUGCUACCACUUGCACUUCAUGAGUAUUGUCCGGUAGUACACACUUCAACAGGGGCAACCCCCUCCUUCCCUCAAGUAUAUAACUUAAAGGUCGUGCUUCCUAUGGAGGUCGAAGUCCCAUCAAUAGGAGUUCUGCUGGAGUCCCAACUUGAUCGAACUAAAAUGUGUGACGACCUUGUGCAUCUAUAUCAAAAAGAGGUUUGAAACAAACUUCCAACAAGAAGGUUUGUCCCCGUGAAACUCAAGAAAGAGACUUUGUGCUCAAAAAGAUACUAUCUUUCCAACCAGACUCCAGGAGCAAGUGGACGCCUAACUAUGAAGGCUCAUGUGCAAUGAAUUUUACAACUAUGGAUGGUGACAAACUUGCACUUCCUAUGAAUGUCGGUGUAGUCAAGAAAUACUCUGUCAAAUAUAAAAGCUCGAUAAGUCGCAAACCUGAAAAGGCGGCUUAGGCAAAAAUGAGCGUCUCGGUGGACUGAAAACCCAAAAGGGUGGUCCAGGCAAAAGUUAGAGACAUGAACAAAAAAGAUUAUCCUGAUAGACCGCAAACCCGAAAAAACGAUCUAUGCAAAAGUUAAGGAUCAAAAGACAAAGUAACUGCAUCCGGUCAGGCACAGUCCACUUGGGGCAUCCAGCUAUCAAAAGACCGCCGAUACGAAGCAUCUGCAGAUCAAAGACUCGAAACAGGGGCAUUCAAAGUUGUUAGGGAGAAUAGCUGUUAUUGUUUUCAAUGUACCAUCCCAUACAUUUACCAUUUUCCAAAUCUUUCAAAGAUCCGUGGAGCCAUGCCAUUGGUAGGUCACCACUCAAUUCAUCAAAUUUGAUCCUAUGCCUAUUUGUUUGGAACUCUCAUUUAUUCUAUUUGCAAAAUUUCUUCUACUUUUUAUGGCAAUACUUAAAGCAAAAAUUUUCAAAAAAAAAAAUACAAAAACUUUUUUUUACAUCUUUUGAAAAGUGUGAACAACAAACACACUCUCUUUGAACUCAUGAGUAGAUGAAGCAUACAUCAACAUCCGCCUCGAAGACGGUUACAUUCCGAAAGAGAAACAUGGCUAAGCGUUAUGGAAAGAACCUCUGCCUUGAACAAGAUGUUGUCACAGUCAAAAAAAAUAUAUACAAAAAAAAAAAUACAAAAAAAUCAAAGCUCGCUAAGUUGAAAACCUGAAAAGGUGGCUUAAGCAAUAGAGAGCGUCCCGGUGGACUGAAAACCCGAAAGGGCGGUCCAGGAAAAAAUUAGGGGCACAAAAAAGAAUAUAAUCCCGGUGGACUGAAAAUCUGAAAGGACGGUCCAGGCAAAAGUUAGAGAUUUUUUUUUAAAAAAAUGACUGCUGAAACAUACCAAUGGAGGAACACUCUGUGCCAGUUCACAAAUGGCGACUUCUUCCAGACUUUUUAUCAACGAUGGGCUUUACCCCCAGGAGGCAUCAGUUGCUCCUUGUGUCGGGUCUUACACCGUCAACGGCUCGUUUUGUUCACAAUAAUAUCAUCUCCAAUGAAGUUUGCCGAGUGCUUGUGCUGCGAUAUCAGUUCGCCUCCAAUCUUACAUGUCCUGUCUCGUUUCAUCGAGUCACUUGUCACAUAGAGUUUAUAUAGUCAUGCAAGUUGUACAUUCAUAACAUUUGUACAUUCAUAAAAUUCGUACAUUCAUACAUUGAUGCAUACACCAUAUAUAUAUACAACAUCAUUCACACAUGAUUGCAUUAGUCACCGAGAGUCUUGUUUAGCCGUGUCUCUUUGGUUAAUCCUGACCCAAACAGCAAGUGGCAGUUUCUUCAUAUGAACAGCUUGCAAUUACAAAUUCUUUUCCUCUCAAAAGUGUCAUCCCCAAUAUAACUGACCAAGUUGUCUUCUCUAAAUUUACCUUUGUUAAGCUAUCUUUGUGUGAUAUUUAGGUAAAACUUGUCAAUCGUCUUUAUUAAGUUAUCAUUUCAUCGAUAGUUAGACGAUGUUUUUCUCUCAUUCUUACCUUUGUUAAGCUAUCUCAUCGAUAGUUAGGUAAAAGUUAUCAGUCGUCUUUUUAAAGCUAUCAUUUCAUCGAUAGUUAGACGAUGUUUUUCUCUCAUUCUUACCUUUUUUAAGCUAUCUCAUCGAUAGUUAGGUAAAAGUAUCAUUUGUCUUUGUUAAGCUAUCAUUUCAUCGGUAGUUAGACGAUGGUUUUUCUUUCAUUCUUACCUUUGUUAAGCUAUCUCAUCGAUAGUUAGGUAAAAGUAUCAUUUGUCUUUGUUAAGCUAUCAUUUCAACGGUAGUUAGACGGUGGUUUUUCUCUCAUUCUUACCUUUGUUAAGCUAUCUCGUCGAUAGUUAGGUAAAAGUAUCAUUUGUCUUUGUUAAGCUAUCAUUUCAACGGUAGUUAGACGGUGGUUUUUCUCUCAUUCUUACCUUUGUUAAACUAUCUCAUCGAUAGUUAGGUAAAAGUAUCAUUUGUCUUUGUUAAGCUAUCAUUUCAACGGUAGUUAGACGGUGGUUUUUCUCUCAUUCUUACCUUUGUUAAGCUAUCUCAUCGAUAGUUAGGUAAAAGUAUCAUUUGUCUUUGUUAAGCUAUCAUUUCAACGGUAGUUAGACGAUGGUUUUUCUCUCAUUCUUACCUUUGUUAAGCUAUCUCAUCGAUAGUUAGGUAAAAGUAUCAUUUGUCUUUGUUAAGCUAUCAUUUCAACGAUAGUUAGACGAUGGUUUUUCUCUCAUUCUUACCUUUGUUAAGAUAUCUCAUCGAUAGUUAGGUAAAAGUAUCAUUUGUCUUUGUUAAGCUAUCAUUUCAACGAUAGUUAGACGAUGGUUUUUCUCUCAUUCUUACGUUUGUUAAGCUAUCUCGUCGAUAGUUAGGUAAAAAUAUCAAUCGUCUCUGUUAACCUAUCAAUACGAUAGUAGACAAUAAUUUUCCCCAGUGAAACUUCAUUCCCCUAGCAGAGUCGGACCCCUUUUUUCUUCAACGAAUUCGGGUAUCCCGUUGUUAUUUCUCAUUCGAGUCAAAUCAUCCUGCAUUCAUAAAUUGCAUCACAUGCAUCCAUAGCAUCUUAGGUCAAAUAUUGUGUACUUUGUAUUUAAGUCUCUUCGACUCGUCAAAUCAAAGAUUUCAUCUUCAAAUCUCCGGACGAAGAAACUUAAAUAGGGGCAUCUGUCAUACCCCAAUUUUUGACCUAAGGCCUCACGGACACAUGUCACUUGACUCUGAUCGAUCUCUGAUUUUUCAGUGAAAAAAUUCGGCAGGGAGGUAUUUUAAAAUACCUCAUUUUUGAUUCCGAGUCGGACCCUCUUUUCUCUUUUUAUUUUCUUUCCAUCUUUUAUUAAUUUUAAUUUUAAGAUUAGUUACUUUUUUUAUAUUUAAUAAUUUUUAUUUUUCAUCUUUUAAUUUUAUUUUUCUUUACAUAAUUUAGUUUAAUUUGUUUUUAUUUUAUUUCGUAUUAGAUUUAUUUUUAUUUUAUUUUUAUUUUUCUUUUUAAUUAAUUAGUGUCCAAAAAAAAAAACAAAGUGUCAAUAGGUCCAAAAUAAAAUGUACAAGGUCUAAAAAAAUUCAAGUCAAGUGUCAACUUUAACAUUCCUUUUUCAAAAUUCACCAUAAUUGUCCAUCAUUUCCAUUAAAUCAAUUUUCCAUUUUUCAUCAACCUCCUCACCUAUAAAUAGAGCCCUCAUUCCACACAAUUUCACACACCAAAAGUUCUCUUGAGUUGUCAAAGAACUUUUCUCUCUUCUCCCUCUUUAGCUUGUGUUGACGAGCUAUUCUUUUCUUCUCCCUCUUUUUUCUGUCCCUUCGGAAUAAGUCCCUUCGGUAAUUUUUGUCCAUUCGGUUGUCAAUUUCUUUUAUUUUCUUGAAUUUUAUUUCUUUUUAGUAUUUUUGCAUUUUUUUUUAUUUCUAUUUAGCAUUUUAAUUAUUUUUAUUUAUUUUCCAGCAAUUAGAAUGUAUUUAGGUCCAAUGUAAAUAUAAAUGAGAAAAGUGUGUGGGUGUGUGUGUCCUUUUAUUUCUUUACCGCCUUAUAUAUAUCCAAAAAUGCAAAAAAAAAAAAAUUAGAUUAGGGAUUUUGUGGUGAUCCAACGUCACUACAAAAAUCCACGCGCAUUUAUUUUUAUUGCUCCGUUAGUUUAAUUUUUAUUUAAUAUUCCAAAAAAACAACAAGAAAACAUGCAAAUAAUCAAAAUCACAAAAAUAUUUUCAUAAUAAACCUUGAUCCAAAUCAAGUGACCGCAUUUUUAUUUUCUUUUCUCCAUCAAACUUCAAUCAAUUUAACUUUACUUUUAAGUCUCUUUUUUCAAUAUUAAAAAACACAAACAAAUACUCAUUUGCCACUUGGCUUUUCAUUUUAAAACCUUUUUCAAAACUAAUAAAAAACACUCAACAAAUCAAACGUCAAUUUCUACCCCGAACUACGAGGUUUUGAUCCCUCACGGGUACGUAGGCAGAGGACCAUGUCCUUCCAAAUCAAUAAAAAAUGUAGAUAAUUAGGUCUUUAUUUUUAUCAGUUUAAUUCAUUCUUUUCAAAAAUAAUAAGCAAGUUAUAGCAUAUUAAUUAAAUAAAAUCAAGAGGUUCUCGUAGAGUACUACGAAUAUUUAGGGUGCUAAUACCUUCCCUAAAUAUAACCAACCCCUGUCAUACCCCAAUUUUGGACCGUUUAAAAACUCUUGUCCGUAUUUUAAAUUUGUUCACAUUCCCAUUUAUUCGUUGUUUUUUACCAUUUAAAGUUCGUAUUUCUUGUCUUUAGUCAUUCAAAAAAGUUUUUUUACGUUAAAUCAACGUUCGCGUUUCACAACGUUUAAAACCGUCUCACUUUCAUUUUUACGUCGCAUAGUCUUUUUUUUAAUCGUAACGAUCACGUCAAAAAAAGAGAAGGCCUAAUCGCUUUUUUUAAAAGGCGUUUUUUCUUAUUAAUCAUUUCAAUCGAAAUUUCGGCAGGGAGGAUACUUUGAAAUACCUCAUGUCAGAUUCCGAAGGGACUUUUUAUUUUUAUUUUUUUGUCUUUUUUAGUUUGUUUAUUAUUAUUUUAUUUUAUUAUUAUUAUUUUUUUUAUAAAAAAAAACAAAACAAAGAAAAGAAGAAGACAUACGUCUUCCCUUUCUUCUUUUUCUUUUUCUUUUCUUUUUCUUUUUAUUCAUUCUUUUUAUUUUUAUUUAUUUAUUUGUUAAGCCUUUGUCCCCAAGUCUCAGCUGCAGGGGCAUUUUGGUCAUUUGUUUGUACCAGAGCCAACCCUAAUUUGUCACUAUAAAAGCCUGUCAAUCAUUGGGAAAUGGGCCAGAGAAAAAAUUACUGUUCAUGAGUCAGAGAAAAACACUAUUCACGUCAGAAAAAGUCAGUCAACAGCAAUCAUACUCACAAACAAUCUCCAAACUUCUCUCUCCAAAAUUUUGGAUCAAAAACCCAAAAUUUCAUGAACUCACAUGAACCACAUCAAGAACACAUGAACCUCAAUCAUUUUCAGAAACACACAAUAACAACAUAAACACCUCAAACCAUUCAUACAACCACAAAUCAUCAUCAUUCCAAACAAAACAAAUCCGAACCAAAACAGAGCCAAACGAACCGGAGUAGAGGAGAGCCAACCGAACCGGAAAAGAACCGGAGCCGAACCGGAAACAAGGAAGAACACGCGAACCGGAAGAAGGAAGAAAAGGAGAGAACCGGACUCAAACUAGGAGGAAAGGAAACCGGAAAAAGAGGUAAAAAUUUCACGUUUUUCAUUUGUAGAUCUAGGAUUUUUGGUGUAUGUUUUCGAAAUUUUGAGCUUGGAUUUGUGUAGAGGAAGGGAAGAGGAGUAUUUUGAUGUAAAAAAAAAUUUCAAAAAAAGCAAAAAAAACUCCGGCGCGGCGGCGCUCCGGCCGACCGCCGCGCCGGAGCAGCUCCGGCCGCCCCUCUUCUUCUUCUCCGGCCGCGUGUGUUUUUGUGGGAGGGGAGAGCUUCUCUCUCUAAGUUGUAACUUAGAGAGAGAAAGUUUUUGUGUUAUAUUUGUUUUUUUGGUAAAACCCCUUUAUAUAGCCUCAUUACUUUAUUUUAAUUCCAUGCGUAUCGUUCCACUGUAUUAUCGUGUAUGAUCACAGCUAGACCGUCAGAUUGUAGAUCUAACGGUCGAUGAUGCAGCUUGUUUUUGGUUAAGUGUUUGUUCUUUUGGGUGGAAUAUUGUGUGCCUGCUGUUGAACCGUCAGAUCGUUGAUCUGACGGUCACUGUGCUUCCAGUAUAUCCUUCCUUUCUUGCUGUUUAUUUUUAAACCGUUGGAUCUUAGAUCCAAUGGCUAUGAUGAAUCCAGGGGUUUGAACUUGGACCAUUGAUUUAAUCCAAUGGUUCAGAAUUAAUCCUGCUGAGCCAAUUUGUUUAUUAUUUUCAUUUGUUAUUGUUUCUAUUUUUUAAAUGCUGUUUUUUUUUAUUUCUUUUUGACAUUUUAUGUUUAGAAAAAAAUUCCAAAAAAAUGUUUUUUUCUCACUAUUUUAAUUUUCUAUCAUUGUUAAAAAUCCAUCCUAUUUUUUUCUUUUAAUUUGUUUUUUUUUACUUAUUAUUUAUUAUUUCUUAUAUGAUGAUCUUAAAUGUUUUUUUUUAUUAUUUUUAUUUCUUGCUUAUUAUUUCUUAUGUCUCAUUCAUCAUAAUAUUUCUUGUGAUCACUAACCAUUUAAUUUUUGUCUUAGAUCAUAGCAUGCAUAUUAAAUUUUCUCAUCAUUUUAUCUUGUCAUUGGAUUAGUAUGUAUAAAUAGGGAAUUGAUGUAAUUUUAUUUCUUGCAUUUUAUUUUGGCAUAAAGGCCUUAGGGUUGUAUUUAGGAAUUGAUGUAAUAAUGUAGGUAACACAAGCACCGACACAUACACCGACACUACCACAUUUUAUUUACCGCUUUCCGUUAUUUUUUUUUUACGACGUUACGUUAGUUCUCACUGUUAGUUUAGAAAAAAUCAUUUUCACAAAAAAAUCAAAUAUGUCAAAUUCAAAAAUAUUUUUUCUUAGCAACAUUUUCCCUUUAUUUUCUUAAUCAAAUUUUUAAUCAAUUUUAAUUCAACUUCAAUCAUUUUCAAAAAUUUAAAAUCAAUCAACCUCACUCAUUUCUUUUAUCUCAUGCCUUGAGGCCUCUUUCUCUUCUUAAAACCAUUUUCAAAAAUCUUAAAAUCAACCUAACCCACCAAAGAAAUUUUUGAGUGGAACUACGUCGGUUUUGAUCCCUUUCUCAAAAGGGUACGUAGGCAGAGGACUCGUCCUUCCAAAUCAAAUAAAAAUAAACCAAAAACAUACUUCUUCUCCCUCCAUUCUUUCACUUAGACAUUAGGCAAUAAUUUUUCAAAUGAACAAGUAUUUUAGCACAAGAUAAUCUAGGUAAGAGGUUCCUACGGAAUACCGUAGAUGCUUAGGAUGCUAGCACCUUCCCUUCGCAUAACCAACCCCCGAAUCCAAAGUCUCGAAAAGGGUUUUUACUCAUUUUUUCCCUUCCCAAGAAUAAAAAUCGAGAGUUCAAAGAUUGACGAUUCAAAUCAAUUAAUGGUUUGAUAUCCAAAAAUCGCGAGCACAGAAAUGGCGACUUACCCCCGAACCCUAAAUCUCUCAAUAUGGGGUGUUUUGAACUUUUUUCACCUUUUUCUUAAAAAAUAAAAUGUUCAGUCGUGAAAUAAUUAGCGAGUCAAAAAUCUAAUCAAAUAGCCUUGAUCUCUGAAAAAUGACGCGACACGUAUUAAUCAAAACUUUGUAGCAGAAUUAAUUCAACGACAAUAAAAGCUCUAACAACAUGUUUCAAAAUUGAUACAUAAAGGAAUGAUAAACAUCGUAACAAUUUCCCAUCCUGUUACGUAUCAGAGCCCUAAGACACUUGAGCCACCUCUCCUACUAAGCUUCAUUACCUGCAAGUUACCCAUACGAAGGGCAACAUUUUCAAGCAGAAGGGGUGAGAUCUCUCAAACAAUAAUAAUAAGCAUAUAAUUCAUCAAUUACAGUUAACAACAUAGACAUCAUCAAAUCCACCCAAUAAUAAUUUUUCUUAACAUCCCCUUAGUACUCAUGAAUAGAAGACAACUUAGCCACUAUGCAUCAACGUUAUCAAUUCAUAACAAUAAUUAUUCAUCAACCAUCUCAUUAGCAAAACAUGAAUAAGGAACAACUUAUCAACUUAACAUAAUCAUCAUUAAGUACAUUUAACAACUCAUAGAUAACAUCAUGUAACAUCAAAACAGCCUCUCAUUCAACACUAUAAACAAUCAUCAUAACAUCGUCAUAAUCAUCAACAUAAACAACGUAAGAGUACACCACCUCUUAUAAACAACAACGUAAGAGUACACCAUCUCUUAUAAAACGACCAAGUAAGAGUACACCACCUCUUAUAAAAAAAACGACAAAGUAAGAGUACACCACCUCUUAUAAAACGACCAAGUAAGAGUACACCACCUCUUAUAAAAAAAAACGACAAAGUAAGAGUACACCACUUCUUAUAAAACGACCAAGUAAGAGUAGUACACCACCUCUUAUAAACAACAAUGUAAGAGUACACCACCUCUUAUAAACAACAAUGUAAGAGUACACCACCUCUUAUAAAACACCUGACAUAAACAAUCACCAACGAUGGCUACAACUACGACAUCAACAACAACACCAACGAUGAUGACAACAUCGACAAUUUGCAUAACAUACUUAUGACUUAUUCGGCAACGUACAACCCAACAACGCUUACAACUUAUACCAACAUUAGAUCUUCAUGAUAUUAAUAUGUCACAACCGCAAGACAACACCAUUAAAUAAUAUGCAGCAAGUCAACAUUAAUAAUAAUCAUCAUAUAUAACAAUUACAAUUUCAUAUCAACGUCUUUCACAAUAUAUAAAUAUUUUCACAUUUAAUCAUCAAAGUAAAUCAUCAUUAUUAAUCAUCUUGUUCAUCCUCUCUGAACCUCAUUAUAAUCAUUAACAACUUCAUUCCAACCCCAAGGGUCGACUCACAACAUAAGUUACAUACUCUUAAACACCCUAAUUGAACUCAUAGUACUUCUAGUUUUGAGCUUUGGAAUUAUCCCAUAAGUUUUGGAUUAACUUAGAAACGGUUAUACUGAAUUUUCAUAAGAUUUCACUAAGACCUCCUUGGAGUAUUUUCAUCAUAUCUCAAAAACAAAAAAUCAUUUUCAAGUGAAACCAAAGCCAUUGGAAAGCUAACAAAAUUAUCUACAACUUUCAUGUUUACACCAAAGGUCAACUCAAAACAGAAACGUGUGAAAAAGACGGAAGAACAUGAAACAGGGUAAGCAUCAGACAUACUGAAAUUUACAGAUUUUCUGUCAAAAUCGCCUCACGAUCACUGGGAUCGCCUCACGAUUUUGACAGCAUCAUACAUGCUGAUAUUACAGAUUUUUCUGCGAUUUUCUACCAUGGGAGCCUCCUUGACUCCGUUUUUUAACCCUAAACUCUCCAAAAUCAUCCAUAAUCAUCACCAUAUGAUUACCCUAUCAUUGAAACGUUAAUCCAUCACUAACCUACCCGAUUAACCACUCUUUUCACCGUUCCAUUAUAUGGUUUCUACACUUUUCAUUCAAAAGUCAAUAAUCAAAACCUAAUCCCAAUUCUCAAAUUUAACCACAACCCCUUGCUAAAUCAAAAUCAGAAUUAUACAAACUAUAAUCAUUGAGAGUUAGCCUCACCCUUACCUUAGAUUGAUGAACAAAGCUCUACACGAUCUUCUCUUGGAUACUAUUGGCUCCCUCUUGGUUUUUCUCCCAAAAAGCUGCUUCCACGUGAAAAUGUUUUCUGACUUCCCUCUUUUCUUUUCUAAACCUAAUUCAACUUCUUCUAUUUCCGCUUAAUCCCACACAACUCUCCUUAUUUCUAAAUCAGCCCCUUGAACUCCAAAUAUUCUAAAUUCCCACUUAUUCUAUUAAAUAGUAAAAUAACACAUUUAAUAAAAUAUAACACACCACAUAAUCAACAAUAAUUAUUUAAAAUCAUAUAUAAAAAGACUUUAAAUCAACCAAUAAUAAUUAAAUAAAAUUGGGUCGUUACAGGAAUCCCAUAACUUCGUGACGUCGACAUUCUUUACACUUAAUUAUCAAUCAAUCAACACAUUAGAUGUCUUCUCUUAAAGUAUGAUUAAAGAAAACCAACCAAAAAAGACAAAUGGACUUCCUAAUGAGGGAAUAUAAGUUGCAUGAGGAUGGAAAUCCUUAUGAUGGAAAUCAGUGAUCAAGUCUAACGCUGACUUAGUUAUUCUUAUACUAUUAAAAUAAGUAUACAGUUACAAUGAAAAAAGAUAAAAUAUAAUGACUAAAAAAUACAUGAAAUUAACAUAUUUGUAAUAUAAAACUAUUAAUAGGGCAUGAUAUUUAACAAUAAGGAAAAAUCAAUCCUUCAACUUCCGGAUAAACUUAAGUUGUUUUCUUUUUGGUGGUUGAAGGCAAAUUUAUAUGCUAAUUUUAUUUUAGGUUAUCAUAGUUGAUGGAUUUUCUCUUUUGUUUGCUUGGGUAAUGGUUAAUUUCUUUAUGUUUUGUUUUGAUAGGAAAAUGUUUGUUUUGGUAGUAAUAUGUUUUAUUUUUCCUUGUUUAAAAAGAGAUAUAGUAUGAAAUAUAAAUAAUUAGUGAUAAAAUAUAAUAUUUUGGUUCGAUUUACAGGUGAUUUGUUUUAAAUGAUCUGAAAACGAUAUUCAAACAAUAGUGAUCAAAUUUGAUUAGUGUGUGUGAUUCAGGUUAUACAUACAUGAGCAUAAAAAACACCAAUUUAGUUUAUUUGCAUUGAAUGUUUGCAUUCUACGAGUUAUUGGUUUGAUUCUUACACCUCAUCAUAAACAAUAUAGCAUAUAAUAUUUAUUUAUUUUCCUCUUUGUAUUAAAGGGUAUACAAAACAUUUUUCAAAUGAGAUAACAAGAUUUUAGUUUUCAAAUGAAUGGUUGAUUCCAUAUUUAGAGAAGGGGCUAGUUGUUGCCCAUGUAAUUAAUAACACAAGGAAGUGAGAAGAAUUCACAGAACACUUGGAUAGGUCAUUUUCUUUCCAAAAAAAAAAAAAACUAGGAUAGGACGUUUGGUGCCCCCAUUCAAUUAAUUCAUUUCACACCGACACUUUGACAAUAUAUAUGCAUUCGAUUUUUUAUUUUAUUUUUUAUGAUUAAAAUCGACAUUGUUUUUUGGUGAGAUUUGCAAGUGGCACGCCACGUAAUUGUACAAGUUCCACAUGCAUUUGACUUUAGCAAACAUUAUCAAUCUUAGAUUAGAUCACGUGUUUGUUCUCAUUAGUUUGAUACUCCAUAAUUUAGAAUAUGUUUUUGUGGUGCAGUAUCUGUUUAGGAGGAAAUGAAUUAAGUGAAAAUCUCUCUUUAAGAUGUAAUAAUAAUUGAGAAAAACUGAAAUUGUUUCAAUUGAGAUUCAUUUCUCCAUUAUGAUGGUUGUAACUUGUAAUUUUUUUUUUUUUUUUGGGUAAAAUAUGUUUUUAAUUCAUAUAAAAAUACGAGAUUUCAAUUUUAGUCCUGCAUAAUUUUAAUAGUAAUUUUAAUCCGUACCGAAAUGAUUGUUAAGAUAAUUGGUCCUUCAUGUCAAAUGGGUUGCUAAUUGAGCUAAACGAAUCAUGACUAGAUACGCCAUGCAAUCAUUUUGAUUGACGUAAGUUGCUGACUCUUGGUUGUAAGAAAAACAUCAAAGGAGGUUGAAUUGUGUAGUAUUUCUUAGAAAUUUUAAGUUAAAAACCAUUCAUAGAAUUUUUACCAAAAAAAAAUCAAUCAUAGAAUGCAAAAGAUAAUCAGAGAUAAGAGAAAAGAAUGACACAUAUUUUCCCCGGUUCAUCCCACAAUUUGGGAUUACGUUAUGUCCCCUCACACAACAGAGAUUUUUUUUUCUCUCACUAUAAUCACAUAAGAUUACAAUUACUUGGACACACAAAUCUAAGAUUUCAUGUCUUACCUUGAGGACUUCUAAAUUUAGAAUUUACAAAUAAGAUUGAUAGUUAUUUACACUUUAGACUCAAAGAGCGGUGAAUGUGCCUUUUUUUUUUACAUUUUAUAUAUUCAAAAAAUCAGUUAGUUCGUUCGACUCACAAAUACAUAUCAACUAAACUCUCUUGUAAGGACUUGAAUCGAGUCCUAGAUUGCUCUUCAAGUCCAUUUGUUUGUGUUUUUGUACGAACAAUGGGGAUUUACCGCAAAAUCAGGGAGUGUUACUCAUUUGUGGUUGGUCGUACACUCCUUCUUCUGCACCUUCUUUAAUAUGCAUGGGAGGGGGUGCUUGCGUAAGAUACUUUGAUGCUCAAGUCAGACGAGGUACAAACCAAGAGCAUACAUGCAUUGUAUAUGAGUAUGAGUGUGAUAAAAUUGGAAUGAUAUGAAGUUCAUCGUACCAAGGGCAGGUGCCCCCUAUUUAUAAUGGUUGAUAUGAUGAUAGACUCCUUGUUGGUUGCAAUCUAAUUUCCUUAUCUUCAAGAUGGUUUGUUACGAGGCUAAUUUGGAUAUCAUAGUAACGAACCUCCCAGAAUCUUGUAAUUACGAGUGACACAUGUAUAUCCGAGUGUAACAUAAUCCGAGGUAGAUGUGCUCAUCUAUGCAGUUUAGAUAAGGUACGAAUAUAUAGGAUCGAUCUCGUAGCUAACUAAAUGUUUUUUAUUCUUAGAGGAGCUAAAGCGUGUAUAGGCGCUUAUGUCGGUCUAUCAAGUGGCUCUUUUUUAUCUCGUGGAAGUGUUGAUGUGUAUCAGACAUCAUUCCGAGGUGUUAGUUAUGACAAGGUGGUAUGAGAGAUUAAGUCAUAUUUUAUGCCACAUGUCACAUUUAGGUGGUAAUCUUGAUAUUCUUUGACUUGGUCCAUUUGUUAGAUCUUCCUAUGUUAUUCUUGAAGAGCUAAUUUGCUUGGACUCCUUAACGAAUGACUAGCCUGGCCUAAUUUGCUUGGAUUCCUUAAUGAAUGACUGGCUUGGACCUUUUAGGCCCAUACUGGUACAUUAUCCCCCUAGCCCUUGGUCAUGCAGUGGACAAUUGGUCUAAGAGUAUUGAAGUGAAAAUUUUUGAAUUUUAUCCGAUGUAGAUAUAUUUGAUUUUUUUGAUGAUACGAUUUUAGUUUAAACCCGAUUUAGAACUCGAUUUACAGAUGGUAUACCCCAUGACUUGCAACUUAGAGGUGAGGUGAAAGUCUAAAGGAUUUUUCAUAUGAUACUCAAUGGUUUUCUUUGCCUCAUUUCUUGAGCAUUAUGACGUGUAUUCGAAGCACGACGUGACAAUGAGACAAUUGCUUUUUUAUGGGUGCAAUUUGAUAUGUUAGAUUUGUUAAUGGAAAGUUGUAUCGUUUGAUCGUACUUGAUGAAACAUUUCCAAUCAUUGAUGAACGGUUCCAUCCAAUUUGAAUACUUGCUACUUUCUCCCCCACCACCACCACAACUUGAUUUAAGUCAUGAAGUGCUUUUGCGACUCAUAUUUCCUUAUGUUUCAAAUUUUUCAUUCAUCCCUCCAGCUGAGCUCCGUUCUUGCUUUCUCUUUAUGUUUAAACAAUGUUUGUACAAAAGCGCUUUGAUUGAUGCACUCUUCUUUGAGAAUUGGAAUGAAUUUUUGUCUGAUCCUAAUGGGUGGCACCGUUAGAGUGUUUAAGGAGAGGUUACUGUUUUUUUUUUUUUUUUGCUAAUUAGUUAUCAACAAAAAAAUUCACAUACCCUAGAUUCUUAAAACUCAUUCAACAUAUCAUUUUAUCUAUAUGUGUAUCAUCAUAUCAUUUCAUUAAUCUAUCACAUCACUCUCAAUUGUCUCUUUCACUCUUUUGGGAUGUACGUCAACUAUUAGAGUGUCCAUCAAACAUUAUUGCUUACUUAUUUGUAUAUGGAUACUCCUUUCAUAAUAAUAAUAAUAAUUAAUAAUAAUAAAGACUUUUUUCAUCAUGUGCAAAAUUGCACAUAUUAAAAUAUUUAAAAUAGAAAUUUUGUAUUGAAACUUAUACGUUUAAUAUUAAAUAUAAUUUUUUGAAUAAUAAUAUACGUUGCUCUAAAAAAGAAUGCGAAAGCAUAAAUAAAUAAAAAAACUCAAAUGGAAACAUCAACGGGUCCCAUUAAGCUCCUUAUAAUAAACGGUAGUUUUGAUGGGAUCCGAACAACCAUUAAUGCAUGCAUAUAUAUGUAGGAGUAUAUGGUAAUUGAAUGAACUUAAAAAAUCAAUUUUACUUAUAUUUAAAAAUGAAGGGAGUACCUUCAAACAUUUUAAUGCGCCUACUUAAAUCACAAGCUUGUGUUACCAAACUCGACAGUAUAUGGUAAUUCUUGCCUAUCAAAAAGGUGUGUAUAGUUCAUGCUAAGUUGGUAUCAACGGAAAUCAUUUGAAACUUUAGAGACAUUGUUUUAAAACCCACUCUGAUUCAUCAAUUCAUACUUUUUUAAUUUAAAGUAUCAUAUGUUUAUUUAAAAAAAAAAUCAUGAAAUAAAAAAAAAAAAAAAACAUAAUUCUCGAAUCCCUAAUUCCCAAUUUCUUCUACCUAAUUCCAUGAACAAUAUGAGAGUAUCACAGCACAUAUAUGAGUUUGAUUAAUUUUUCACAAUACUGGGUGUGAGGAAUUUUUCAAGCACUACCGACAAAAGAAAUAGAGAUCACUUCGUCGUUACUUUGCACAACAAUGUCUUAAUCAUUCUAGCAAAACACUCUUCAUCGCUCUCCGAUGCUACACCAACACCAUUGUGAAGGUCAAAAAAAAUUCCAAAACCCAAAUUCUACAAUUAAAAUCAUAAGAGAAUCAUUUUCUACCAAAAUCAUAACUGCUUCCAAUAACUUGAAAUUAAUCUCUAAAGCUUGAGCAUGAUGACACAAAUGGUUCAUCGUCGAGAAUAAGCUUUUAUAAUAUAACGAAACAGUUAGAAAUCUCUCUCUCUCUCUCUCUCUCUCUCUCUCUCUCUCUCAAAUUUCGGCAUGUUCAUGGAAAAGUGAUGUUUGUCAUUAGAAAGUGUACUAAAUUGUCGUUAAGUAGUAAAAUUUAUAAGUUAGUAUCGAUGUAGAUUGUGAAAUCUCAAUUUAACUACUACAAUAAUAGUUUGGAUAUAUACAAUUGGGGGGUGUUUCACUUGGCAAUGGUUGGAUUAACUGUUCUUUAAAGAAAUAGGUAAGACACUGAUUAGGUCAUGAUAGAUCUGCUUCUCUUAAUUACAUAGAAACUCACCCCCUUGAUUGCAAUUGUUCCAAUAGUUUAGUUUCACGACAUUUGAUCAAAAUAGUUAAGUUAAUUUCUAGAUCACUAAUCUUUUUCUCUUGUUACGACCCCCUAAUGUCUUAUAUGAAACUAUAUCAAUUGAAGGCUUGAUUGUAUGCCAAAUUAUUAUCACAAAGCAGUUAGCUCAAGCCCCAAAGCUAAGGUUAAUGGUCAUCGAGACCAAAAUCAGUUUAUAAACAUUCAUAAUCGGAUAAAAAAGCAUUAAAAACAAUUAUAACUGAAAGCCAAAGAGAAAGACACAUAAGCAUCCAGACAAGCCCCCCACACAGCAACUACCGGCUCAAGUAGAGAAUUGCUUCCACCACUCACUCAUAGUGAGAGCAAGGCGAACCAAGGUGGGACUUAUAAAAAAAAAGAACCAAUAACACAAAGAGAACUGGGUCUUCAGAACCAAUUCCUCCACAUCUAAAAUCUUACCGACAAACACAAAAUCAUUAAUGUAACAUGUGUCACAUUGCGUGAAUUUUGUAAAUUUUAAAUACUAAUUUUGCUUUCUACUCAUAAAAAUUGUGAACUUUAACCGAAAAAUUAUGAUAUAUUAAAAAUAUGUAUUAAGAACAGGGCCGACCCAAGCUAUAGGCAAACCAGGCAUUUGCUUAAGGCCUUGAUUUUUUAUUUUUUUUUUACCUAUUAUGCAUGGUACUUUUUUUUUUUUAGCGAAUCUCAUAUUUAUUUAUGGAAAUAAAAAAUUUAAGAGAAAUAAUACAAGUUGUCGAAUGAUAUAGCAAUUGAUUUGCUUAAUUUUAUAGAAAGACUUGGUUUUUUUCCAGAUGUGUAUAUUGGUUAUAGAAUAUAAUGUUAACAAUUCAUAUAAUUGUUGUGUCUGCAAAUUUGAAUUUGUUUUAUUGUUGAUUCAAAAAGAAAUGUUAAACUAAACCGAUUAUAAUAAUUUUGCAUCCAAAAAAAUAGAAAUCACUUUGAAUAAAAAUAUAAUUUUUGUAAAAUAAAUAUAUAAUUAAUAAUUUCUUUUUUGUACAAACUAGUAAUAACUUAAAAUGCUUCAAUUUAGAUUUCGCGUUGAGCAUCAAUAUGUGUUGGAACGGUCCUGAUUAAAAAAGUUUUAUGCUAUGUAUUUUUUUUACCAGUGAAUUAUAGAAAUCUCAUCCAUAAAUUUAAAAAGAGAGGUAAUAAGACAAGAUAACACAUUCAUCAUUUUUUGGAAAAGCUUAUCAUCAUUACAAAUACAUAGUCUGAUGCAAAUUUAUACAUGAUUUCUCCCGAAGAAAUAUCUAUCUAUACUAUAUAGUGGCAAGAUAGAUAAAUACACCAUUAUAUCAACACACAACAUUAUUUUUAUUCAUGAAAUAUAUUACUGAGAAAGAGUGCAUGGUGCAUGAAGAUAGAUAUCAUUAUGAUCAGUUUUGAGUUUUGUCCUCAGUUUGCUCGGCACCGUGACUACCGUGUCCACCUCCACCAUGGUUGUAACCACCUCAACCGUGGUGGUAACUACCUCGUCCAUGGUUGUAACUAGCUCCACCUUUGUUGAAACUACCACCUCCACCACCAUUUCUGGCAUCAUUUACUUCAUUAGUCUUUUCCUCAGUUUGCACGGCAACAGAUUCAGCAGCACCGCGACCACCAUGACCUCCUCCACGAUUGUAACCACCGUGACCUCCGUGGCCUCCACCACCAUUGUAACCACCUCCACC
RNAcentral lists this long non-coding RNA (57228 nucleotides) under Medicago truncatula (barrel medic). Its description in RNAcentral is "long non-coding RNA (MTRU_LNC003591)". The stretch from base 31260 to 31538 matches the Rfam family "MIR2655 microRNA precursor family". The record is from RNAcentral. Lineage: Eukaryota; Viridiplantae; Streptophyta; Magnoliopsida; Fabales; Fabaceae.